UCUUUUCCAUUUACUCCAAUCACAGCAGAGUCCAUUUUGCUAUUAGCACUCCUCUUAUCUGAAACAGUCUUACUCUUCUUGCUCGAACUCGGAGUUAACUUCUCCCCUUCACCAGUUUUCCUCUUCCUCGCCACCACCUUGCUCCCACUCACUUUCCGACUUUUAGGUCCAACAACAUCAUCGUCUUCUUCCUCAAUCUCCAAAUCCAUAUCCUCGGAAGCAUCCUCACCUUCAGAAACUUGUUUAGCUGCAUCCUUUCCCCAAUCUUCAUCCUCAGAAUCAUCCUCAACACUCUUUAAAUCCUCCAAUUUCUCCUCCUCCUCCUCCUUCUCUUCCACCACGGAAGACCUCCGCAACCGCCUCAACUUCCUCACAGGUGCCUUCACCCAUUCAAUUUUUUCUUCAGAUAAAUCAAUCAUUUCCUCAUCACCGUCAUCAUACUUAACCAAAUGCUCACCAGAACUACUGUCAAAAGACUUCACACAGCCUUCAUACCAUAUUUUAUCCAACGGCCAGUAAACCUUAACUCUUUUGUCCACUACCUCUUGUCCAUAUGAUGGCUUAAGGUCAACAAUGGCUGAAAUAGGCACAGUAAUCUUCCGCUUUGCGUUUAGAGGAGAAGGAGUCGUAGGACUAGCACAAGGACUGGUACUAGGACUAAGAUUAGGUUUACGUUUAGUAUUAGGGUUAGGGUUAGAUUUUUCUGGAAUUUGUUUGGGGAGAAGAGGUGAAGGAGAAGGAGACGAGAGGGUUUUGGAGAAGAAAGAAGUGAUUUGGCUCUGUUGAUUGACUAGCGGUGAUCUGCCAUUGCUGGAGCGGCGAGAAGAAGCCAUUUGUGGCAAUGUAGAAGCAAAUAGUGGAAUGAGUGAGAAGAGUAAUGAAAUGUACUAUAUCUAUAUAUAUGUAUUGCUUCUCCCAAUGGCGGGAAGAGUGAACGUUGAGUGCCACAGUUGGCGGGAAGCUUCUCUAAGCCCUUCUUACUGCUUCAUUAGAGACUGCAUAUGUUUUUGUUUUUUUUGAGGGAAAGGUUUAGUCAUUCUUAUAGUGUCUUGCUUUUGUUUAUUGUAUAUAGAUCAUUGCGUUUGGAUCAUAUUUUACUGGAGUUGUGACACAUUCUUUAUGAAGAAUGUGACACGAAUUGAAUUAAUGGACUUCAAAUACAAAUACAAGAUAUUGAAUGAAAAAUAAAAUAAAAAUACAUCCAAGGAAGAGGUCACCAUUAGCUCCAUUUUUUUUUGAAAAAUCGCUUGGGGUUCAUUUGGUUUGCAAAUAAGUUAAAUCGUGUCUAUAAUAUGACGAUUUAAAUUUUAAUGAUUAAAAAAAAUAAAAUAGUAAGCUUCUUUUAAAAAUAAAAUAGUUUGAUCAUUAUAUUAAAAAUGAAAAUGUGUGUAAAAUGUGUGUAUGAUUUUAUAUAUAUAACAUAUAAAAGAUACCUUUUAGAAUUAAAAAAAGACUUGGAAUUAUUAGCCUUUAAAGGACUUGGGAAAAGAUCUAUGGAGAAAGGUAAGUCAUUUGAUUAGUUUGUCACGGGAUAGUUAAUUACAAGAUUAAUUUUUUAUAUUAAUGUUGUAUAAAAUUGAAAUCAAAAUAGUGGUAAGACUACUAACGGAAUUGCUCAUAUCAAAAAUAAAUAUUCAACUAGACACGGGAUUAUUUCCAUCCAAUGAGUUAAUGCAUAGAUUGAAAAAAAUAUGCUAAACAAGGAAUUAGUAAUACCAGAACUAAUACAAGCAUUAUUUUCUCUUGUUGCUGGGCUUGUAUGUAAUGGAUUAAGCUGUGCUUACAUUCAAUUUUCAUUCAGGAAGUUUGGCUAUUCGAAUCGAAACAACAAAGGACUGACUGAAUCUCAAAGUAUAGUAAAAGUAAACCAAAUAAUCCUGUUUUCUGAGUAACAUUCUCGGGAAGAAACAUGCAAAAAAAAAAAAAAAAAAAAGAAUGCCCCCUCUCUGUAUCUCCACAGGGUAUUUCUACUUGGUGUAAACUGUACUCCAAACCCCCCAAAAUAAUACAACAGACAACUCUAGACUCAGAGACCAACCAUUUCCAGAGCACAAGCACUGAAGAUCCAUUCCACAAAAUUGGAUCCGCCAGGCAGUUGGAAGAAGGAAAGAAAACUAAUAAGCUAAGGAGAAGCAUGCCCUCAUAAAUUUGAUAAUUUCUUGGUAAACCAAUCUGAAAGACACUUCAUUUUCAGUGAAAGCUCUCUGUUUUUGGCAAAGUAAGCCUCACCAUUUGCUAUCAUCACAGAGAAAUCAUGCUUCAUUGCUUUCAAGCUUCUAUAAUAGUUGUUCUCUAACCUUAACCGGAUUAUUUCAGGUGAUAGAGGAACAGGGAACCUGCAAAGAGCAAAUCAUUUAUCGUGUUGGGUCCAUUAAUAAUUGUGCAUGCCAAGCGAAAAAGUUAUUAUAACAAAACACCCNNNNNNNNNNNNNNNNNNNNNNNNNNNNNNNNNNNNNNNNNNNNNNNNNNNNNNNNNNNNNNNNNNNNNNNNNNNNNNNNNNNNNNNNNNNNNNNNNNNNNNNNNNNNNNNNNNNNNNNNNNNNNNNNNNNNNNNNNNNNNNNNNNNNNNNNNNNNNNNNNNNNNNNNNNNNNNNNNNNNNNNNNNNNNNNNNNNNNNNNNNNNNNNNNNNNNNNNNNNNNNNNNNNNNNNNNNNNNNNNNNNNNNNNNNNNNNNNNNNNNNNNNNNNNNNNNNNNNNNNNNNNNNNNNNNNNNNNNNNNNNNNNNNNNNNNNNNNNNNNNNNNNNNNNNNNNNNNNNNNNNNNNNNNNNNNNNNNNNNNNNNNNNNNNNNNNNNNNNNNNNNNNNNNNNNNNNNNNNNNNNNNNNNNNNNNNNNNNNNNNNNNNNNNNNNNNNNNNNNNNNNNNNNNNNNNNNNNNNNNNNNNNNNNNNNNNNNNNNNNNNNNNNNNNNNNNNNNNNNNNNNNNNNNNNNNNNNNNNNNNNNNNNNNNNNNNNNNNNNNNNNNNNNNNNNNNNNNNNNNNNNNNNNNNNNNNNNNNNNNNNNNNNNNNNNNNNNNNGCCCCCCCCAUAAAAAAAAAAAGGAGGAGGAAAUUGAAACCCCUGCAAAGUAUAAAGAUUAAUUUAAAAAGAGUACCUAUUCAUGAAGUCCAGUUUCACAGCAACAUGUUUCAAUUUUAGAAUCCCAAAGUUAUCCUGUAACAUGCAUAACAGGGUCAAUUCUGAUGCUUUGACCUACAAAGUUCAAUUGUUAAUUUAAGGCUAGACAAUUUAAAAGAUUGAAACCUGAUUUCUGCUUGCUGACUGCAGUAGUUCAGUGACAGAUGACAACACUCUAUUUUUGCUUUCCAAGUCAAGUUGAGGUUGCUCCCAUGAACUAUCUACAUCAUGUAGUUCCCAGGGACUCUGAGGAUGGGGUUCUACUUCACCUUCGUAUAGGAUACCACAUCUUUCCCAUGGACUGUCAGGAAACUGGUCAGACUUGGCUUUCACUGAAACUACCUCACCUACCCACCACUUACCACCUUGCUCACUCUCAUCCUUCCACCAAACCAGACACUUAUCUCCAUACGACCAAUUUCUCUCCAUUGCAGUCUCAUACCUUGGUCUCUCAAUUAGAAAGUCAGGGAAGUUGACUAGUUCGGGAAGUGUAAGCUUAAACUUCUGUCCAGAGACAGGGGAAGAGGAAUCUAUGAAUUGAAGUGUAACUUUACAGCAGCUCUCACCAGAGCCAGGAAGAGUUGCAUAUGAAAGAUGUUUUACCAAGCAAAUUUCCACAGCUUGGACUGCAGCUGCAUUCUUUGUCCAAGGACCAGGCUCUGAUGAAUCACUAUAUUCUAUAUAUUCUUGAUGCCCCUAAUGUCAAGAAAUACCAAGUGUAAAUCAAAUAAAUCUUAAUGACUCGAUUUGGAAAUCACUAAUGCAACAAAGAAAAUAUUACAUGAAAAAACAAAAUGUGAUAAAAGGAAAGAAGAGGCAAUGAUUAACCAAUAGAAACUAAAUAAUGCACCUGUCGGAAGUACACUACUUCAUCACCUAGCUGAGGAAUGUAGCGGUAACCCUCUUCACGCUCUGACAAUAGCAACCAAUUCAGUUUUUUCACUGCCUCAUUCGAGCUCAUUCCAGAUGAAAAAACAUUUUCAUCCCUGGAAGAACCCUCUUUAGUGUUUCUAGAUGACCGGCACUUGAACACAUUACUUGAAGUCCAUCCUAAUGGCGGAGAACCAGUAGCCUUCUUGGUUAGCUUUUCGGUGUUUCUUGAUGAACCUACAGCUACAUGGCUCUCUCUUAUUUUUAGGUCAUCUUUCCCGAAUGCUGCGUCUCUUGACAUUGCAGUAAAUCUUAAGGAUCUCUUUCUACGUGCUGCAUCAGUUGCGGCAUGAGGGAAUUCAGAACCUGUUUCGUUAUGAUCAUUACAAGCAUUAGAAGCACUUUCACAAAUAUCAUGACUGCUACGUAAACCGCUUCUAGAUCCAUGAGACUUGUUUCUGCCAACAGAAUCAUCCAUCAGUACACCCCAAUGCAAAUUCUGACUGAAUCUAUCAGGGCCAUUACCUGUUUCUGGAACUUGGUUUUGUUCCAAAUGGGAAAAGAUUUUAGAUGUUGAUUCAUCUCCACAAUAAGCAUCUGUAGGAGGAUUAAACUCAGAAUGAGUUUGAGACUCCCUGGACAUUUUCUUUGAUUUUAUCUUUAUUAUGGUUGGCUUCACUCUAGGUUUGAGGUUUACUUCAGGAUUGUCAUCGGUGGUAGUCAACUUGUUUGCACCAGGACCAACACCUAUUUGCUGCAGCUGAUGACUGGGUGAUGAUGACAAGUGCAAUAAUGAAGAACUUUUAGCAACUCCUGAGAAACACAGUACAUCUCCAGGACCAUUUCCAGCCAGCAAACUGCUAGCUUCAGAUUGUCCCAGAUUCGUUUGAGCCUCAGCCAUUAAAUUAUCGGCCAGAGCCAGAUUUUGGAUAUCUGGACCAGCAGAAGGUUUUCUAUCGACUUGCUCAUUUAAAACAUCUUUGGGUUCCUUGUCAUUAACCAUAUGUUCAGUUUUACUGUAUUUCCCAAACAGCUUCAUGCCAAUCUUGUCUGCAGAGGAUGAUCCUGGCUCCUUUAACCUUAGGUUAACCACAUUAUCUUCAAUUAUCUCUUCACCAGCUUGAGAAGAACAUGGCUUAUCAGCUUGAUCACCACACUGAGCUGCAGUGUCUUUUGAUAGCUCAAGCUUAUUAGCAUCACGGAUUUUCAAUUUCAGGACUAAUCUCCUUUUGUUCUCGCCGUUUGUCGGAGGUUCAGUGGAUUUAGGAGGCACAUCGAUAGCUCCACCUGUUGGAUAGCUCCGCGGUGUGCUUGUCAGUUUGUCAUCUGAUGCAAUAUUCUGAUCGCUUGACCAACAUUCUAAUGAUUCAGUUUCCAAUGAAUCAUCCUCAGAGCUAGCUUCAUCUUCAUCAUCUGAAGAAAUGUCAUAUUGCUGAUAUACAAUUUCAGGAUGUGCAGCUCCACGGUGAGAUCUGAAUGACUUUGGUUUAGAUGACUUCCUUUUAGUGGUAGCUUUCUGCCCAUUUCUUGAUUUCCUAGUUCUAAGACUUCUACAUGAAGUGCCAACAUCAUCAUCCUUAACUUUCUUCCUAAGACGCCUUCCAGAUGAUGCGACUUCCACCUGAAAAAGAUGCAAAUGUUGCUCAGCCAGGGUAAGCAAAUAGGUAAUUUGUUUGUGAAUGUAGAUGCUUACUUCUGAUACAGAUAUUUUCCUUUUUGAUCUGCGUAGGCUAUCUUUCCGACUCCGUCUCAUCUUCUGUUCUUCACUACAUACUGAACCACUAGAAGAGCCGUCUCUUAAACAUUCACGCUCUCCUUCAGCAGAAAGCUCUUCAUUCAUAUUAUAUUCUGAAUCAGUCUCAUCAUUCAGAAUAACAUUAUCUGGCUCCCAGAAAAGGGUAUCCACAAACUCCGGCAGUGGUUCAGCUAUUAUGUCCAAGUCAGCCACUGGUAAAACCUGGUAUCCUAAACCCAAACCACCGUCUGUGCCUACAGAAAAUUUAAUUGAAGAAGGACGCCACUCGGUACCCAGAGCUCCUAGGCGGCGGCGCUGGUACGUACUCUGAUAUGGUUCAGGAUAUGGAAGCAUACCUAGUAUUCCCAUUAUCCAUGUUUGGAAGAAAAAAAACAUUUAUUACCAUCUUCUUGAAACUGACCAAAAAAGAAAAAAGAACGAAUGACGAAAGCAACGAAUAUCUACUUGCAUCACAAAGAAGAUCUUGCAUGUUCCUCCGAUAUGGAGCUAACUGUGUCUCCUGCAACAGGUAAAAAAUGCCUGUUGUUCAUAACUUAAAAAAACUUGGAAAACUUAUACAAGAUGGAACAGCUGUAGGUAGCUGACAGAUGGGCCCAUCCAUGUAUUACCCAGAUAAGUUUGAUAUGAAAUUUCUCAAGUAGUAAAAACAAAUGAUAGAACUUAAAAGUGGUAAAGAAUAAAUCUUUUAACUCUCUUCAUCACAAAAACAUGACCUAAUUCUUUUUAUUUUUUGCAUGACCUACUUUAACUAUAGAGAUUAACAGUAAUUUUUUUGGAAAGAUAACUAAACGGAUUUAGAUACAGUGUAACAGUUCAAACUUGGAUUAAUCAUUUGAAAAGAUUUCAUACAAAGUCUUAAAUAAUGUCAAUGAUAUUAUUUUUAAUGGGAUGGGUGGAAAAAAGAAUGACAUCAAGGAAAUAAAUUUUGGAAAGGACAAAAAAGAAAAAUGUGUCAUAAUCCUGAAUUGACGGAGUGAACUAGUAUGUCAAAACUAAAGGUACCUGAUCAAUAACAUUCCCCUGCGCAUCCUGGAUAAGGGGCCGGUAAUCCCCAAGGAAGAACUGUUGAAAGUUAUAGCCUCAAUAUCGCAUACAGUAACUGUAAACUACUUAAAACAAUGAUGAGAAUGAAAGAAACCGCCUCAUAUACCUGAUCAUAUUUAGCAUCCUUUUGAGACUCGCCUUGGCCUGUAUUUAAUAAAUAUAUUUGUCCAACAUCAUCAGAAAGAACAAUUGAUGUUCCAUCCCUUUUCACAAAGAAACAGCACAUCCAACACAAUAAGUAACUUCGACAUUUCAAAUAAAGCAAAGAGCAUUUGCACCAGUUAGCAAAUCUAAUGGGAAAUGGAACUGAAUGAGUAAUUAAUUCUGAAGCCAUGAUAGGAUUGGUGUUCUUCUAUGACCCCAAAUCAGGAAGCUCUGAUGAUGUCUAAAAUUUGAAGUACAUUAAGGAAUCACCAUUUAUAUACAAACUUACUUUAUAAGUCAAAUAUCAAAGAUACAGGAAAUAUUAUGAUGUCCUCUUUAAAUUACUUACUGUGAAAACUUUCCAUCAACCAACUUAAAGCGUCCUAUAUCAUAUGUGCGGAUGGGGAUCCCCUCCCAUAUCUGGAGAUAGAAAUAGCAAGAGUGAAACAAAUGGAAAUACCUGUGUAAAAGGAUGUGAUACAAUAAUCAAAAGAACCAGAAACCUACAUCCCACAGGAUGGUAUUCCCAUCAUAACCAGCACUCAUUGCGAUUCUGGGGUUGAAAGGAUGAACAUCCAGAACAUAUGUCUGCAAGAGUCGAACACAAAGUGUCAAUUACACCAGAUAUAAGUUUUUCAAUAGGUGUGGAUGGAGUGAAGGGGUGGAGGAGUCAUAUCAAGAAUAGUACCGGAAUUGAAUGACUAACAUUUUUUAAAGUUUAUUAUGACCAAGAAAGUGAAAAUAAACCACCCUAAAGAAUUGCAUGACUCUUUUAUAGUGCCUGACCAAGAAAUUAGGCAAUGGUGGAAGCAAGAGAGAAAGAAAUAACCAGUGAACACAUGCAACGAAAUGGAGCGCAAGUGGAAGUUUCUCAAAAAUAUCUAACCAAGAUGACACAUGAAAACAUAUAACCAGCCUAAGCAAGCAUUUUGAAAAAAAAAAACUCAGAAAUAUCAGCCUAAUCAUAGUCAGAUAACUUACAGACUGUGCGUGACCAGUCAAGGAGUGCACCAAGCUACCAUCACUAGCAUUCCAAACACAAAUUCGGCAAUCUGCAUAAGUUCACCUUAUGAGUUGAAAAUUUCAAAUUCAAGCACCAUAAUUUCUCUGCUUCAACAAAAGGAACAUAAUUUGAAUUCAGUCAUUCACAACCCCAAAUGGGAGUAUUUUCCUUUCUAACAGGAACCAAGAAGACCUGGAUUUCAAAACCCACAAAGUUGGAGUUUGACACUCAACGAGUAGGAAGAACAUGAACCAAUUUUGUGUUGUUAGCCUUGCAGGUGCUUAGGAAAUAUUCGCACUUCUACGUGUCCAGUUUGCCAGGAAUUGACUAGUCGCACACAUGGGAAAACAAGAAAAACACAAGAUCCAUUCAGAUAUGACUGGACCCUCGGCAAUCGAGGAACUGGGUAAGAUUCACCGGCCACUAGACAUAGCACAUAAGUUAACAGUAGCAUGAAUGGAACAGGAACUAUUCAACCAAGUUUCCCUGCAUGUGGCUCAUCCAUGAUAAUUUCUUUGGAAUUGUGUGAACUAGCGGACAAUCACUAAGUGGGGAUGCUCCCUCCAGCAUGAGCAAACCCUUUUGGAACUGGGAGCCACUACCCCAGCCCGGAUGACUCUCAGAGUAAACUCUUACAGAGAUGCUUCCUAGCUCCUACAGAGAGUAAACUGUUAAGUCAAUCUACAACUUCUAAGCCAUGUUAGAUUCGUGCUAUACUUAAUAGCUCAUGAGGAAUAACCCUCCAUAAGGCACCCCAAUUAUUCUCAGCUCACACCAUUUUCUACUUGCAGUAGAAAAUAAGUUUCCUAAGCAUUUCUUUUCAAAACUUUCACAUGACUGCAUUAUUUCUUUUUUUCUUUCAACCAUGGCUGCAUUACCCUGAUGGGGGUAAACUUAAGCCCAUGCCAGGCACCAACAUGUCUUAGAAUAGUAUCAACUUGACAUCGGUUUCCUAUGUUUAAAUAUCUUGAAACUACCUCAAAUGCACUUUAAUUACAAUUUACCAACCAAAUAUUCCAACAACUUAUUACCAAUUCCAACACAGACUUCUCUGGAUGCAAACCAGAAAAAAGAUUUAACAUGAAGUUGAAGGUCAUUAUACAGUAGUUACGACAUACUUGCUAGAACUAAAAGUUCGAUAGGGUGCAUGAAAAAAGGGAAAAAUUUGGGCUUUAAAGGCAACAAUAAAUCUGUAACGUAAGAAAAUAUCCAUACCACCUGUAUUCGCUGUCAAUAUCAUCCUGAUAUAAUUUGGUUCCAUUAUAACAUAAAUAAAAUUUAUUUAUUAACUCAUUAUCAGCAUGAAUUAUUCACUACUGUCAUGAGAAACGCCUACUAACCAGGCUUGUGAAUGUGUGUCAUGCCUGUUGAGCAUCAUCUUUAAUUACUGUAUAGUAGGUCAACAACAAGAUGUUUCAAUUUCCAAACUAUUAUGGGCAAGAAAUGAAACUGUCAUCCCAUAAUCAUAUUUAAAAUAGUUUUAACCAAAUAAAAGUACAAAUUAAUGCAUUUGAACUAAAUAUGCAAUUAAGAUAAAAUACCCAUGAUAGCAGCCAGUACAAAGCGAUUAUCCAGGCUCCAGACUAUCAUGUUAACACCGCGAGGAGUAGGGCGAAAUCUCUGCCGUGGCCCUCCUCGAGGAGGCUGUGGUGGCAUUGGUGGCGGAGGAACUUUAAGAUGAUAUGCCUUACCCCAAGAACGUCCAUGUUUUCCCUGAACAGAGUAGAACAUUAUAGUCUGAAAGAACCAGCACAGAGAAAUGUCUCAAUACUGUAGGUCAGUUAGACUUGGUCCCAAUUUACAGAUGUAACGGUGUGAUGAAUUAGUGUCUAACACCUCAAGUAAAGCAGAGCAUACUUCUGUAGUAUCCCUCUAAAAACAUACAGGCAUAAGUUUGUGCAUGUAUUCAUUCUCUUAUUUCUCACAAAAAGAAACCAAAUUUUGAAGUCAAGAACUUACAUGGGACGACUUGCGUGGUUUUGGGGUCCAAAUAAUUGCACUUCCGUCACGGGAACAAGUGACAAUGUUGUCAUGGCUAAACCUGAAAAUUGUGUUUUAACAAGCAUGAUCAUUUACGCAAGUUAACACAACUUUAUCCAUCAAACAGGUUGACCAACCAAACUCUCCUUUAUGUUCAACCAUGAUUAACUAUAGCUGAUAAGAAGGAUACAGUGCAAUUUAAAUUUUUUAUUGGUAUUAGGACCAUUUGAAAUAAUUGGAACAAAGAAAAAAGAUGUUCACAAACCAAGAAUUCCUAAAUUUAGGAAUGCAGUCCUCCACAAUGGAAUCAGAAGUUGAAGAUCGUGAAGCAACUGCACAGCCACUGCACAAAAGAAUAGAAGGUGAGAUAAUGAUGAACACGUUUAAGGGUGACAACAUGACUGCACCAACCUGAACUGUACAUAGUUGACAUCAUUUUCGUGACCAGAUAAUGUAUCUAUUUCAUGAUUUAGCUCCUCGGGGUGAUCUGGGGAGAAUUUACAAGCACUCCAGACCUGAAGACGGAUAAUGUUUGUGAUUCCAUACAAUCUCAUCAUCCCAUUAACAGAAAAUACACUGAAAAGUCAAAAUGCACCAAAAACUUUCACAUUCUUAACAUUUCUUGCAUACUUCAUACGGUAAACUCUAUGUUUAACCGUUACUGGAAAUUUCUUAUUGUUAGGUUGUCAAACAUGUGUUAUGCCAUAAGUAAGCUAAACAUUAAUUAGAGGACUUUGAUAAAGAAGCUCAGAACAUCUCUUGUAUCAGUCCGAUCCUAAGAAGACUGAUACAAUAUUACCUUACCAAAAAAAAGGUAAACUAUGCUAAGAGCUUAUUGACAGGAAACAAAAAAAUCUCAUAUCCCUGCUAUCUUAUAAUGAAGAUUUGACAAUGUUAUAAUAGAGCAUAACGUUUGAUGCUUGUUCAUACCCUUGCUAAAGUAUCAGAGCUGCCAGUGACAAAGACAGUUCCAUUGGCAUUGUAUGCACAACACAAAAUUUGAUGGCUAUGCGAUGUAUUACUUGAGGACUGAAGGUUGGUUACUGCGGUACCACUGCUCCUCACUGCAUAAAAAAUAAAAUCCACACAGAGACUCGCCAACUAACAGCACGAACAUUAUCAGACAAAUAACUUGUUCUCAGCUAACCUGAAACGUUAUCCUUUGGUCUUGGCGAGUAAACGCGUGGAACACAUUGAGAAGACCUAGCAUCCCAAAUGCGACAAGUUCCAUCAUCUGAUGACCUACCAGUAGGAAAAAAAAACCCGAGGGAAGGAAGUCACACAUUUAUAAAGCAAGUUACCAUAAACCCCAUAAUACUUAGCAAGAAACUUUAACAGACACGAAAAUAGAUAAAAAUGAUUUCUGUUAAUUGUACAACCUAGUGUAAAAUCUUUACUAGGUUUCUUGUAUUUUAACCCUCUUUAUUCUUUGUACACCUUAGUCUAAGGCUUCCAUAUCUUCAUCUAAUGCUUUGAGUUGGCCACUAACUCAAAGGAAGUUUUAUAGAGGAAUUAAAAAAUAAAUUAUAAGAAAAAACUUAGUACAUUUAUCUUUUGCUUUAAGCCUUUAACAUAAAUAUAAAAACAUGCACGACCAGCACACAACUUCACAUAAUAUGUUCAAGAGUCUCUUAAAACGAAAAAUUGUGAUGUAAGAUUUCCACUAUUAUGAAGAGCAAACAGCUAUAUAUAGUGGCAGUAUACCAUAACCAGACAAGAGCACAAUUUUGUGUAAUAUUUUAGGAGCCAUUUGCGAUCAAUUGAAACCUGUGUAUAGGUGUCUCUAUAAUUAUCGAAUAUACAAAGUACCACAUGGUAAAAGAGGAAAUAAGGUAAUGACUACAAGACCUUGCUGUGGAGCAUAUUCGGAGUGGAAAGGAUGAGCCUGCGGGAGGUGCUUAUAGGAUCUAACACCUGAAGGAAGAGAAGGAGAAGUAGAGCAAGCGAAGUAGCUCCUUUUUUGCUUUCCACAUAAGUGAACGUAAAAGUGAGAAACGGGAGAGCAUCUGAAGAAGUAGAAUACUCUUUUGUAUAGAUAUUUUGAUGAAGUAUUCAAAAAUGUAGAGGCAUCUGAAUGCACAAGGAUAAUUGCAGAUAGUCCUUGUGCCAGAAUCUUCUCCACAUUUCAUUCUUGGAUAUAGAUUAGUGGAACAUUUUUAUUUUUGCAUAUUUUUGGAGUGUUGUUGAUAAUCAAGUCAUUGUUGAUUCUUUUUCAUGCAGUUAUUGCUGAUGACUAGAUGAAUUUGUAGUGAAUCAUGAUUUGUUGUAAGAUUCUCUACCUUUUGUACACACCUCGUAAGCAGUAUUUGCCAUCACAUCACUAAAAUUUGAACUAUAAUCUCAUAGAACAGGGACAACAAAAGAAUAUAAAACCACUCACAAAAAGAACAAUAAAUUUAAAUCCUAGAAUUACUAGCUUACUAAUAUACUAUAGGUACAGAGCACCUAGUUCCCAUCAAAUUACAAGUAUGGAUUAGACCACAAAUUUUCCUUCAAUUUCUUCUGCUAUCAUGUUAGCUUCUUCAAUGAUAUUACUCCCUCCCUCCAAAAUACAUGGCCUAAUUUGAUCCAAUGUAGAGAUCUCAAGAAAAUGUUUGAAAAGAUUAUUAAACCAGUGUAUCAAAUAAUGGUCCUUAAAAAUUGUUUGAAAUGUGAAAAAACUAAAAGGUGAAGCAAUUAAAAAUAAAAAAAGGUCAGCAUAGGCCUGUUGUUUUUCCACUUAUCUUUUUUUUUUUAUAAUGAUGGUGUCCCAUCUUGCACGCACCUCGACUAUUCUACCAAGUACCUGCUACCUCACAUCAGCAUAGGUUGUACCAGAUAGAUCUGUCCACCACGAUUACAGAUGUGAAGAAACACAUUUUAUGGUUUUCGUUCUCCACUAUCUAUAGACUUCAAAGAUAUCCCAACUAAAGGUCAUGAUCAAAUAUCUUUAGCCCAACUCUCAGAACAAGAUACAUAUUGGGAGAUUAUUGACUGCAUUAGACUGUGUACCAAUGACAAGGAACCUGGUCCUGAUGGGUUUCCAAUGAGCUUCUACCAAUCCUUUUGGGAUCUGGUCAAGUUAGAUAUCAUGAAUACCUUACAUCACUUCCAUUCUCAUCCUGUGUGUGAAAAGAGCUUUAAUGCUACUUAGAGGGUGUUAGGAUUAACUUCUCUUAAGUGUUUUUGGGCUUUUAAGCUCUUUUCUUAUUUUUUGUGGUGUUUGGGAAAGAUAAAAAGUGCUUUUAAGCACAUACUUUUAGGUCAAAAAGUAUAAAAUUAAGCUAAAAGACAAAAAUUGGAUAUUCUGAGCUGAUGGUUUUUAGCUUUUAGCAUAUAAGCUACUUUUAAAAAGUUAAUCCAAACACCCUCUUACAUUCCCCUCAUACCUAAGAAGAUAGGAGCUUCAGAACUCAGGGACUUCAAACCUAUUAGCCUCGUAAGUGGAGUCCCAAAGAUCAUUGCUAAAUUAUUGGCAGAAAGAUUGAAAAAAGCAGUGUGUAAACAGGUUAACAACCAUCAGAUGGCAUUCUUCAAAGAAAGACAGAUUACAUAUACUCCUCUUAUAGGUGUUAUGAGCAAAGUAGACAUAGAAAAGGCUUUUGACCAUGUCAACUGGGAUUCUCAAACAGAUGGGCUUUGGUGUGAGGUGGUUGAAAUGGAUUGGACUUUGUAUCAAAAUAGCCAGGUUCCCGAUUCUGGUAAAUGGAGAACCUAUUGGUUUUUUUCCUUCUUAAAGAGGCCUGAGACAAGGUGACCCUCUUUCACCUUUCCUUUUCACUAUUGACAUGGAAGGCUUCAACAGCAUGAUGAGAAUUGCAGUCCAGAAGAGAUGGGUGAAUGGCUUCGGGAUAGGCAACAGGUUGGGUGAAGACAUGGAAAUUUGUCACUUACUCUAUGUUGAUGACACUGUCAUCUUCUGUGAUGUUGCAUUUGAACAAAAUUGCUAUAUCAGGAUGAUUCUCUUAGCAUUUGAGGCUACUUUUGGACUGUGUGUAAAUUCGAGAACGAGCAGCUCAUUCCCUACCAAUGAGGUGACACAUAUGGAGGGACUGGUUAGCAUUCUGGGAUGCAGGAUAGAUCAUGACUUACCAACAACCUACUUGGGCAUGCCUUUGGGCACAAGGAGUUGGAAAUAUGGGACAGGAUAGUGGGAAAAAUAGAGAAGAAGCUCUCAAAAUGGAAAUUGCAAUACCUUUCAUUAGGAGGAAUAUUGACUCUGAUAAGCUCUGUUCUGGACUCACUGCCAAUACAUGUCAUGUAUUUAUUCCCAAUCCCUUCUAAGGUGGAAGAAAAGUUAGACAAAUUAAGAAGAAAUUUCUUGUGGUUGGGAAACAAGGAAGGCAAGGGUUACCAUCUGGUCAAACAGAAGACUGUUCAACUAAACAAAGAAACUGGUGAUCCAGGCAUCUGGAACCUGGCACUUCAUAAUAAGUACCUAAUGAUGAAAUGGUUAGGGAGAUUUGUUGAUGAGGAGCAAGCACUUUGGAAGGAGGUCAUCCAGUCUAAGUAUGGGCAAAUCAGUCACUGGUGGUGACAACUACAUAUAGUGUCUCAAUAUGGAAGUCCAUCAAGGCCCUAUGGUUUUUCAGAUCAUUUUGCUACAAGAUUGGUAAUGGCAACAAAAUUUCCCUUUGGAGGGAUACCUGGAAUGGUCAGGAGUCCCUGAUGAAUUCCUAUCUAGCUUUGUUCUCUUUAUACAGCAAUCGUGACAAUUGGUCCCCUCAAGGGUGGAAUAUCUGUUUCAGAAGGCGUCUAAAUGACUGGGAGGUAGAUAUGCCGGCCAGGAUGGCAAGGAUGCUCCAAGACAUUAGUAGUUUCAAAGGUAUCAAUGUGAGCCCUGAUACUAUCAUCUGGAAACAUGGAAAAGAUGUCAAAUUCACUGUAAACAAUCUAUACAGGAAGAAUAUAUUGAAGAAUCCAUGUUGCUAGAUAGGGCCAUUGAGGCAGGUUCGGAAUAAUCCGACUCCAACAUAAAUUUUGUGCUUCCCUUGGCUGGUGACCAGGAAAGCUUGUCUGACACAUGAGAGUCUAAAAAGAAGGGGGAUGCAAUUUGCAUCCAGAUGUUUCUUGGGCAAUAAACAGAGGAGACAAACAGCCACAUUUUCUUACACUGCAAAGUCACUUCUCAGCUUUGGUCCAUCUUCUUUAGUCUCACACAAACCCAGUGGUCAGUGCCAGAGCAUACAACAGACCUUCUGAGCUGCUGGAUCAGGAGAGGGGGAAGCAAAAAUCAAACGAAAUGGUGGAGAAUAAUCCCAGUAUGCAUAUGGUGAUGGACAGUGUGGAGAGAAAGAAAUGUGAGAUGCUUUGAGGAUAGAUUUGUGGAACUGCAUCACAACCCAUUAUUUUUAGUGUAAAGGAGAACUUGUAAUGAUGAAUUCAAAUAGUAGCUUUGUUAGGCUCAUUGUAAUUAGCAUUUUGGUCACAAUUUUUGGAGGUUGCCAGCAUAACAUACCAUUAAUGCUGAAGAAUACAACAUAACCAGUUCUUUUUUAAAAAACAAAAAAACAAAUCAAAAGGGGAAAGUCAAACCAAAUAUUUAUUUCAUGAGGAAACAAGUUGAGUACCAACUCACGUUGAGAUGGAAGCUCCUAAGGUUCUACCAAACACAAGACACGCCAAAUAGUAAAGCAAGGGGACAUAGCAUGGCUACUACGUAAAAGGGUCAAUUAGUUGGUUUUACUAAAUCGCCUCAGUGAAACAAUCUAAACAUCCAACCCCAGACGUCAAUACAACAUGUAGAGUGGAUCAAAAUAUUAUGAAUUUAUUUGGGAACCCUUAAAUAAACAAUGACAAAUGUGUUCUCUAACACCCUCGCACACGUGUAACCCAUUCUAGCUAUACGCGUGGAUUGCAGAUUUCUUUUUUUCCUUUUUUUGUCUUUAAUAGGCGCAACAAGUUGUGGAGUGGAUGUAGAGGCUAGAGCAAAGUUAUUGGCGCGGCUGAAUUGAGAGAGUGAAGGAAUCCUAGAGGGGCUCGAUGGGCUGAGUAGAGAAAGAUGUUUCGAGCAAAUACAAAAGGUAGAGAUUCUGAUAUGAUAGAUGUCACAGGACCCUUCUAAUAGGAGAUAGAAUAUAGCUAUGAUUUUUUUGCUCUUUUGAAAUCUGUAUAGAUGGCCCUAGCACUGCCUGUGUGCUACUUAUAAAACAUGCUACCAUUCUCAAAAAUAUGAGGUAGAGUGAUGAUGGUAAUAGAGUAGGUAGAGAGCAAUUUCCUUGGAGACUCUUAUACAUCCAAUGAGGGACAAGUGUGUUUCCUAACAACCUCCAUUUUCUCAAGGGUGGAACAGAAUGGACCUCAAUCAGUUUAGUACAAGGUUCCUCAGAAGUUCUGGAGAUGCUAAAAUUCAAGAAAAAAAUUAAUAUUACCAUGAAAGGACAAGGAAGCAAAUAAACAUAUAACGUGAAAGGGACAGUGGAGGUAGGGGAUGAUGAUCCUGGUGAAAAACUGGGAGGAAGUCCCGUACCAGUUAAAUUUCAACAUGAGGAAUGAUAUUCAAGAAGGUAGGGAAGUGACAAGAGGGGGUUGCUCAGAUGGUAAACACCCUCCAUCUUCAAACUUUAGGUUGUGGGUUCGAGUCACCAAGGGAGCAACGAAAAGCAGGAGCAUCUAGGGAGGGGUAAAAAAAGGGUAGGGAAGCUUAUCGCUUGGUGAUGUCCACUUCAGUUAAGAAGACUGAUUAUGAUGAAGCAACAAAAACUUUAAAACACAGCAAUUUGGAUGCCGAAACCAUAUAGACAAAGGUGGAAGGGUACACAAUGCCUCACCAUAGAUAAUAUCAGAUACGUCAAAAGGCAGAUUUGGAAUGCCUAAGAGCUAAAGCUUUUGUUGAUUUUUGGGCUUGAAAAGUUGGAGCCAGUGAAGAGAAGAAACGGAGCUGUUUAUGUCAACUGAAGGAUAUAUAACCUCUCUCUUAAACAGAGUGCUAUUCUUUUUACUUUUUCUACUUCAAGACAGAUGGUAUCACACAAAUUGCUAGAAUAGCUUUUCCAGAUGUAUUGUCACUAAUUAAUUGACUACACAUAAGGAAAAAGACAACAUUCAUUGAAAAAGGAUUCAUUAGACAAAACAAAACUAGCAAAAAGGGGUGAGAUUGAGGCAUCAAAUGAAGUUCACUUCUAAGUUUAAGGGGCCACUUGGCCAUGCAAUUUGGAUUUGAAAUUUGAAGGUUUUGAUUUAAAAUCUGUGUUUGUUUAUGACAUUUGAACAAAACUCCAACUUCAUUUUGAAUUUUGAUUUCAAAUUCACCUAAAAGGCUUCAAUUGCUCUUAAAUUAAAACUUGACCCAUAAGCUUAUAUUUUGCAAAUAAAGGCCCAUACUUUAAAUUUUGCCAAAAAAGACUCAUGAUCGAUGUGAAGAGAUUGUUUGUACCAUGUGGUAAAAUUAUAAUAAAGAAUAGCUAGUAACUAAUAUUAAUUUAUUUAUGAGUUAGUUGUCAAAACCACACCUGAUCUAUCACAUUUACGCAAGUUUCACACCUCAACUAUCAGUUGUUCCCUUUUCGUACUCGGACUAUCUCCAUCUAUUCUUUUUCCUACUUGAACUAUGACCUAUGCAUUAAAACAACCUCAAAUCUGACCAGGCCAACUAUUACUUGUUUCUUUUCCUACAUGAACUAUCAUAUUCAUGUCCAAACACCUACUAAAUAUUAAUUGUAAAACUAGAAAGAUACAAGACCACAAUCACCCAUGCAGCAGUCGUGUCUCAGAAUACAAAGAUACUCCUAAUUUCCAAAUUCUGAAAUUCGCCAGUAGCCACAGUUUUUGUUUUUUUGGCAACUUCUAAAAAUUAAGAUCCACCGAAGUGGGUAGCCUUAACUGGAUGUGUCUGGUAAUAGGUAAAGCCCCAAGGCGUUUCCCAUCCCUGUCGGGGGAGAUGCCAACCAUCUAUCCUUUCUAGAACACUCCAUAAGCCACAUUUAAUCUGUAUGGCUUAAUCAAAAGGGCUAAAUCUCUUACACAUAAUAAUGCAUCAUGUUCCUUCAAAGAGAAAGGAGCAACAAUAAGGAUCAAGGCUUAAAGGUAGCUUACGAUAGAAGCUGAUACACAGAGCUAGUUUUUGGAGUAAAUGCGAUGGCAGUAACAGCUCCAGUGUGACCACGCAAAACUGAAAUAGGUAAUCCAUCUGGCAAGCGCCACUGAAGUACAGAGAAAGUAGAUAAGCUGCUCACUCUUCAACAGAGGAGAUCUUCAAGCCCAAAAUUAUUACUCUUCAAAGAAAGCAAGAAGAUAUCUCUGUCAAGUGGUAGGAGAAUCUUACAACUCGAAUGCUGUAGUCAUUUGAUGCAGAUGCCACCAAAGCAUUGUUUGAACUGACGGCUAAAUCAGUGAUGUCACCCUAUAGCAUGACAAGCAAAUAAGUGUACAAACGAAGAGUAACUAUUCAUAAGGAAGAGUUAAAAUUGAGGACACUAUUGGGAGCAUAUCUCAAUGAACUUACUUCAUGUCCUCGGCAACUAGCCAGGCAUAAUCCAGUUUCCAUUGACCAAACCUUGACGAGGCGAUCAUCAGAACCAGUAAUCACAUAUCUUCCUGAGCGAUCAAAUAUUGCUACACAACAGAGAAUAGGCAGAGAAAUUGAGCUGAAGGUUCGAAUGUCUUCUUGACAGACAACCCUUUAUAUCUCUAAUUGAGCUGAAGGUUCGCACGUCUUCUUGACAGACAACCCUUUAUAUCUCUAAUAUGAUAAACCUUAAAAGCUAUUGAAUGUAUCUACGAUUUAAGAAAAAGAAACAGCUACCUUUAAAACUAUUAGUGGCAUUCAAUUUCUGGAAUAUUAGGUAUAGCAGAAAAAGUGUGUUUUAUUGAGCAUAAAUGAAAUCCCUGAACGAGAACCCAUUUUGAGAGAAGAACUUUUAAGUGCCUAUAUACAAUAAGAGUUUUAAAGUUGUACCACAAUAAACAGCAUCCCUAUGUCCCCUUAGUUUCUUUAUGUUUUGCAUCUUUUGGACCAUAGUUGACGGCUUUGCAACAGCAUAACUUGCAAGACGGAUAGAUGGAGCACGAUGAUGUUUUGGGAAACCUCCUCCAAUCUCUCUUAAAGUUAGACCAUGCACCUGAUUAGCCGGCAUGUGUGGCCAACGGAGGUAUGAAGGAAGGGAUUGUGCUUGCUUAUUGACUCUAUUUCGCUCACCUGUUCAUCACAUAUUCAAACUUAGACAAACAGAAAACCUAAAGUGGCAACAGAAUGUAUAUGUCAUGCUACUUAAGAGAGACAACAUAAAAGGGAGAGGGACAAUGUGCAGAAGAGAUCACAGUGCAAAUGACCAAACAAGGGAUGUUUGUGAAGAAUUCGUAGUUUGGAAGGCUUUCCUGGAUAACUUUGCUCACUUGAACAAACUGAUGAAAGGAAACAUUCACGAUCAAAGAUGCAGAAUACAUGCCAAAGAGUUUUUAAAAAGUACCUGUAAGCUGUUUUCGCCUUUUAGUGAGACGCCUUAUAAAGCCAAUGAAAGGCACAAAUUCAAAUGCAAUACAAUCCUCAAAAUGCUACUCAGUAAAUUGUGGCUUCUUUUUUUUGGCCAAAAUACCACCAAAGAUAUAGUUUAAGUGAUAGUGUAUGUCAGUCUAAGAGUAGAGAGAUAAAGUUAAUCUUGUAAUAUGCUUGGAUUCCUGUUAGUUCACUAUCUGGUGACAUGAUAUUGGAGAAUUGUUGAGUAGUACAGGGAAAAGGUUUAUGUAACUUUUGGCCAAAACGAGUACCAAAGCUAUAGUAGUGCACAAGCCAGAACAGAGAGUAGGAAAAUUAAUCAAGGACAAAAGGAGUCGGUUUAAACCAAAAAAAACAAAAAAGGAAAAAGAGAAAUUGAGACAUGCGAGGUCAAUUUCCAAGAGAAUAUAUAUUAGAUCUUAGACCUCAUAAGACUACUUACAAGUCAAAAGAGAAAAAGGCCCAGAUCCAAGUAGCGUGGGGACAUCAGCAGCACCAGGAGCAUCUCCCCCACCACAUUGCAAAGGAGGACCCGAAUUCAGCAGCAGUUGUUUAAACAACUUUACCAAGUGAUCUUUUUCAACAUGAGGAUACCUAUCAUCAGCAAACUAAAGGUUUAAACAACACAAGGAAUCAAGAAUAUCAAUUAACUAUUUAAGCAGAAACAGAUGGAUAUUGUGGCAUGUUAACCAGGUCAACUUUCCCAGGAGCCCAGCAACCAUUUUGAAAGCAUCAUUAAAUAUAAAUAAUUCAAUUAUAAAUAAGCAAAAGGUUCUAGUGAGAAGGCAUUAUAUAGUAUAAUAGAAAAGUGACUAAUAAUUGAUUUUUUGGUUAUAAUAAAGAACUCAUAAUUGAGUCUUUAAAAGAAAGUUUAAAAUCUAUAGGACUCGAUCAGAGUAGCUUGACAUUCUUUACCAGAAUUAAAUUAUCAUAUAUUUACAUAAACUCAUAAAAGAAUUGAAUAGAUGUAUCCAGGGAGAUUUCUCUUUGAAGCAACUAUUUCCUAGAUCACAUGUCGUCUUAUUUCACAACUGAAUCAAUCUAAAACUUAAAGCGGAACAACUUCACAUAAAGUGGGGCAGAGAGGACACAGGUUUCCCAUAUCUAUUAUUCUGUGGAUCGAAAGAGCCCCCAAAGAAGGUAUACAAAGCUUGCUCAAUACAACAUGUUUGGAGCUGAUCUAUUCUAAGUUGUCUCAGAUGACAGAUAUGACAGUGAUGAGGAUCAGAGUGAUGAGACUGAAGCUCAAAGCAAACACCAGCACACAAAAGUGCAGCAGACAUAUCUAAUUUCAACAAGAAGAAAAACAUAAAAUAUGUUUACAAGGCACACCUUAGCAUCAGAUCAUCAUAAUUUAGAGGGAAAGAAAUGUCAUCGUCAUCAUCAUCUCCACUGAGUACACCUUUUCUUGAAUACCAAGCAUGAUAUCUCCUAGGCAGAAGCUCAUGUUCCAAAAGUUCAUCACAGAAUAUUCCAAACGUUUUUCGGCACGGCCCAGAUGACAAAAAAUGCAUAAUCAGAAAAUAAACUUCUCUGAGGUCAAUAUUUACAUCCUUUAUUGUGGCAUGUUCAGCAAAUCUCUCUUCUUCUUCGAAGAGAGAUUUUGUGUAUACCCUAUUCAGGAAACUUGUAUGUGCCAUAUUUGAUGAUGAAGCACCAUUUCUAGAUGUACACUUCCCUGAAUCCAUCCUUUGUUAGCAAAUAAACUCCCCACACUGAGUAUUCCUCUUCAAAGAGCAAGAUCCAUGAAUCUACAUUCUCAAAAACUGAAAUUAGAAAGCAUACUCAAUCAUUUGCUAGGAAGUAGUAAAUGCAGAAGUUCUCAUAAUUCAUUAACACUUCAUGAAACAUAUUCUAACCACCAUGAACAAGCGCGCACAAAGGUCACUACACAAGGUCAAAGAACUUAGAUAUGAUUCUUCCAAACAUGUUAUUGUAAUGCAACAAAAAUAUGUGACAACAAUAACAAGAAAGCCCCCACCCCCCCCCNNNNNNNNNNNNNNNNNNNNNNNNNNNNNNNNNNNNNNNNNNNNNNNNNNNNNNNNNNNNNNNNNNNNNNNNNNNNNNNNNNNNNNNNNNNNNNNNNNNNNNNNNNNNNNNNNNNNNNNNNNNNNNNNNNNNNNNNNNNNNNNNNNNNNNNNNNNNNNNNNNNNNNNNNNNNNNNNNNNNNNNNNNNNNNNNNNNNNNNNNNNNNNNNNNNNNNNNNNNNNNNNNNNNNNNNNNNNNNNNNNNNNNNNNNNNNNNNNNNNNNNNNNNNNNNNNNNNNNNNNNNNNNNNNNNNNNNNNNNNNNNNNNNNNNNNNNNNNNNNNNNNNNNNNNNNNNNNNNNNNNNNNNNNNNNNNNNNNNNNNNNNNNNNNNNNNNNNNNNNNNNNNNNNNNNNNNNNNNNNNNNNNNNNNNNNNNNNNNNNNNNNNNNNNNNNNNNNNNNNNNNNNNNNNNNNNNNNNNNNNNNNNNNNNNNNNNNNNNNNNNNNNNNNNNNNNNNNNNNNNNNNNNNNNNNNNNNNNNNNNNNNNNNNNNNNNNNNNNNNNNNNNNNNNNNNNNNNNNNNNNNNNNNNNNNNNNNNNNNNNNNNNNNNNNNNNNNNNNNNNNNNNNNCCCCCCUCCUCUUUCAUUUCAGCUUCCCGUUACAGCUGCAUGGAAGUUAUAGGACAUAAGUUAAGUGACUAAUUACAAGCAUCACACAACAAAAUUAACACAUGUGUGCACACUAGCAGUAAGUAAAAAUGGUGAAGUCAGAAUUGGGGUAAACAAACUAGUAAAACUCUUUAACUAUUUCAAACCUAUUUCAGGGGUAUAGAAAAAAGGGAAAAGGGUACUUUAUUAUACUGUUCAACUCUAUCCUCCGUUAUACUAUCUUGUCAAUAUUACCCUCGAAGUUAUGGAACUUAUCAGAUUUAACACCCCCACCCCCAAAUUAACAGUUUCUUCCAAUCUGGCCAAAAUUACACAAUUAAAUCCGCGACCCACAGCCCACCAGACCCACAUCAAAUCACAACAAAAACUGAAAGUCUGAAACAAAUCAGUCCCAGAAUUGGACCAAACAGUCCCUAAAUUGGACCAAGGCAUUAGCAAAAAAACUGAACAAAUCUCAACCAAAACUACACCAAAAUCACAACCAAAAAAUGAACCAAAUUAGUCAAAUUAGAAUAAAUGUGCUUUUGAAUUUAAUUUGCUUCAAUUCUCAGCAUUUAAAGAGGAAAAGCUUCCUAAGUUGAUCUUCUUGGUUUUGAAUUACAGUUGCAUCUUUUACUAUGAAAUUCCUGCUGCAAUCUUACUUCCUCAAUAGAUGCGAAUUAUUGCCCACUGUCCUGAAUCCUCUCUGUGAUUUGGUGACCAAAUGAACCUCAACAAUCUAUGACACUCAAUCAGCUUUUGUUUCUACUGCAAGAACAGGUAUUCUAGUGGCUUGAAAUGGGGGAGGGGCUCUCUGUUCUGGGUUGAAGCCAGUGGCUAUGGAGUUAGCUGGCGAUAUUUUUUCCAGAGGUAAUGGGAUUCACGACUGAGUUGCGGGUGGUUCAUGGAUCUGUACAGGAAUGUGAUAUAUGGAAGAAAGGGCAUUCACAUGAUGGUGUUAGGGUGGUGAUUCACGGUGGUGUUUGGUGGCAGAGUGGUGUACGGUGAGGCGAGGGAGACUGAAGGUGGUGCUCCAUUUUUUACCAAAAAUCUGCCUUCCCAGUGACCUCACCCUCCGUGUAUCUGAGCAUCGUCUCCUUCUAUCCAGUGAAUGUUCUCUAAAUGCUUGGAUCUAAUCCUUGAUAAGAAGGAAAAAUGAAAACCUCCCCUCUAUUGUGUGCUAUCUAUCCAAAAUACUCUCUGUGAUUUGGUGUCAGUCUGGUGGGUCAAACUGGGUGAUUUUGGCCAGAUAGGGGAAAUCGUUAGUUUGGGGGUACAUCUGAUAAGCUUCAUAAAAGCGAAGGUAAUACUGGCCAGAUAGUAUAACGGAGGAUAAAGUUGAACAAUAUAAUAAAGUAGAGGGGUAAAUUUGACCCAUUGCCCUAGAAAAAAGUUAACCUGCAAGAAUUUUAGGAUUUGUAUGAGACUUCAACCAACAACCCUAAGUAGGGAAGUAUGUCGCCAACAAGUUAAUGCAUGAGUUCAAACAUUUUAUCAUUCAACGAAUGCAAAAAAAGGGGGAGGGAGAAGGAACGAGAAGAGGUGCACAAAGCAUGUUACAUCAAAUUAACAGGAAAAUAUUUUAGAACUAUGCAUGAUAUUUCCUUAACAGGUACUAGUGCAUUUUCAUUUUGAUUAAUCCUCCCUCUGUUUCAAAAAGAAUAUCCCAAUUUCCUUUUUAGUAUGUUUCAAAAAGAAUGACCCCUUUCCUUUUUUGGCAACAAUUUAAUUUUAACUUUCCACGUGGCAUGUUUAAGGCCACAAGAUUAAAGGGAAUUUUGGUACAUUUGACAUAACUUUAAUUUAGAACCACAAAAUUAAAAAGUCUUCUUUCUUUUCUUAAACUCCGUUCCAAGUCAAAUUAGGCCAUUCUUUUUUAAACGGAGGGAGUAAAAUAGUUUAACAAGUGUAGUUCUAAAUUGUAGAGGAAUAGCUUAGUUCUUCUUUGUUCCAAUAACCAAAAAAUUCCGAAGGGUCACUGAUGCACGGUUCGAAACUCAGUGAUAAACUUAUAAUGGGUCCACCCCUCUAUCAUUUUCCACUUAAUUACUAGGUUUUGUCUACAAUGGGGUUCAAACCUAUGGAUGUGUGCCUAACCGAUACAUUACAAGUUGCGCUUUAACCACUGCACCAAAGCCCUGGGACAUUAGCUUGGCAAUUUCUAACCACAUAAGAACUCUUUCUUGGUUAAGAGGGAAGAAGGCUCUCCAUGUUUCUCUCAGUGCAGUAGUCACCAAGAACAUGUAUGUCUGCAUCAUCCUAAUUAUGGACAAUCCUCAGUAACACAACUUCUCACCAACCAAAUAAGGAAAUGGAUAACUGGUCCACUCUCCAAUGGAAAAAUUUACUCUAAAAGUUCAAUCCACAUUGUACACAAAAAGUGGGGAAAAAAAUCUAGAAUAACAUGCAAUAUGACAAGAGGGAGUUGCUAGGAUGGUAAGCAUCCCUCACUUCCAACCUUAAAAGAGGACUUAGAAGUUCUGCAAUUCCGAUUUAGGGAAGUGCACGUGUACAUUUAUACUUAGUUGAUGGUCGUUCAUGCAUUUCAGUAUCAACCUUGUACAAAUACCAAGGUGGAAUUUCAGAUCCCCUUUCAGGAAACCUCCAUAAAUCACCACCACAAAUGGUAUCAUAAGGAAAAAUGAGACUAAUGCAGGUAGAAAUUGAAGAAAAUGUGCUUAACAAGAAAAGCUAUUAACAUUGUAGGCACAUAAAAGCAGGUCACUGAGCAUGCCCUCGCGUCCUCGCCAUAGUCGGCCAUAAAAUUUGUCUGAGACAGAAAAUCAAUUUUGACAUCAAUUAGAGCGUAAUUGUGAACAUGCAUACAACAACUCAGUGUUUUGAGAUUACAACAACAACAUACCCAGUGAAAUCCCACAAGUGUAGUUUGGGAAGGGUAGAGUAUACACAAACCUUAACUCUACCUUGUGGAGAUAGAGAGGUUGUUUCUGGAGGACCCUUGGCUUGAGUACAGCAAAUCAAAGUAGGUAUGAAAGGGAAAAUAAAAACGACAGUGAAGAAAAUAUAGCUAUUAGUCAAGGGAACACAGUAACACCAACAAAAUAGUGUGAUAACUGAAACACAAUAAACACAAAUGAUGAUAGAAACCAAAAGGGACACACUACAAGAAAAGGCUAGAAUUACGACAGACAAUACACUACUACCUACUAACCUUCUACCCUAAUCCGCGACCUCCACGCUCUCCUAUCUAAGGUUAUGCCCUCGGUAAGCAGAAGUUGUAUCAUGUCUUGUCUAAUCACCUAUCCCCAGUACUUUUUUGUCUACCUCUACCUCUCCUCAUACCCACUAUAUCCUCGAGAUUAACCACUUCUAUUACAUCCUUAGCCCCCCUGAAGACUUCUUACAGAAGAAGUCAGUAACUUGGUAGAAAUAGAUCACAACAAAAACAGAACAAUUGAUGACUCGCUUUUGUUCAAUUAUAAAAAAAUAAGCACUUUGAUGAAGAUUUAUAGCAUCAUUCAAAUAUAUACAGAUUAAGAUUGUAGAAACAUGAGCUUGUGAUAUAGCUUAUUACAGACACUUCGUUCGAAAAGCACCGCAUGCUGAUACGGACAACCUAAUCAUUUUCUAAUAAUUUGAGCUCAAUGAUCCACCAUAGUUAAAGUACCAAUAUAAAAACAAAAAAUUGAUCCGCCAUAGUUGAAGUGCAAAAAUAUGAUGAGAUAUGUACUUUCUACUAGUCUUUUUAUAACUUUUUCCUCUUAUUUUUCCUUUUGACUUUAUUGUUUAUCAUCUAAUGGUGGUUUCGCACAAAUCCAGUUACUUAACCUACUGUAACUCAUGAAUAAAUUGACUCACUAGACUCUAAAGCAGUCAAGGUAUGAUUUAGUGGUCAAUGAACUGAGUUGAGAACCAUAAGGUCUCAAGUUCAAUUCUUAGUGGAGGCAAAAAUACAAGAUUAUUUCAAGAGAACGGUAUUUUUUUCUAUUUUACCCUUAACAUUAACUACUCUUCCCCAAAUUAUUUCCUAAGUCCAUUGAGACUUAAUUUGGGUAUUAUGAUAAAUGUGCACUUCAUUAAAUAUUUCUUAAGGGGAGUGCAAAGUCCAUUAUGGACAAGUAAAAGUAAUAUGUGCAACUAUUGUUCCCAUACAUUUGAUCACUACUAAUUCUAGAGGACAUUAUUAAAAUUGUAAGUUUCCUUUUGCCAAGUGUCGUUAAUACUUCGUGCAAGAACCUGAUCUCUUCCCUGGGAUAAUAUGGCAAGGUUGAAUGUGCUUGCCACACACUUUGGCUCCACCAAAAGGUACUAAUUUCUUAGAAAUUAGGCAAGUUGAGGUAAUUAUUACACUACUUUGCUGUCAAAAUAAGAUUGUUAGCAGUGUUCUUGUUUAAACUUCAAAUGGUACAGACAUUAGGAGCCAAACAACAAUUAGCGUUUGCUCUGACACCUUUAUUGGACUGAACAAAGCAGGACAGAAGACUAUUUUGGUAAAAUGUUUUACAACAUAAAAAUUACCCAAGAGGAAGGGAUGGGAUAGCAAUCAGACAUGGCAUUUUAUUUUACAUCCUUCCUUUUUCUCCUUUUCAUACAUUUCAUAUAAGUACUGGACAAAGGAUAUCAGUACCACUACAAAUCCCCUCACUGUGUCCGCCUUGGGAUCAUAAUCUAGGGUUAUUUACUUAUUUUCCAUAACCAUUAACAGCCAAAAGAUUUGCAAACAUUAACAUCUUACGCAUUUAAUAAACCUCAGCAAAGUUUUAUGGAGAGAAAUUAAAUUCCUUUUUAAAUUACUAAACCACAAAGAAUCAUCUUCUGAAAAUGUAACACAUCAAGAAACUGCUUGAUAUUUUCUAGAAAUAUAUCAAGUCCCGGUUUAAACUCAAUAAAUUCAUACUACAAAUACCAUAACCUACAAAAGAAUUCCUCAACAAAGUGAGGUAUCCCAAGUGAAUGACAAGAUGAGGAGGAGGACACAAGAAAAAAGAUAACAAUUUAACUACAGCAACAACAUAAGUGAUGCAAUCAAUCAAAUGACCAAUUGAUAAAUGAUCAAUGUCCUUAUCCAAUGCAGAUUGAUUGACUAUAUAUGCACAGGCAGAGCUAGGGACAGAAGGGGUUUAUCCGACCCCCUGUGCUGAAAAAGUACAUUGUCUAUAUAAGGUAAAAAUUAACUUUAUGUCAGAUAUAGUAGACAUUGAAUCCCCUUGACUUUACUUAUUCAUAUUUUAGGAUCCCCUUAAUGAAAAUCCCUAGCUCUGCCACUAGUCGACCCAUUUCAUUCCAAUUAUGAAUUCAUGAUCAAUAAUUUGUCGUUUAAGGCAAGUUAGGUUUCUCUAUAGAUUCUCUAAAUCUCACACUUAUUCAUAAACUAACAUGCCAUUCUGUAACUAGACUAUACAUGACAUGCAUGCCUAGUGAUAUAUAACAUCAAGAAUCCUCUAAACAUAAAUAAUAAAUCUACCAAAACUCAAAGCCCAGUCAAGUGGGGUUUUCUUAAUAACUUUUCAAGUAUAGAAAAUCUCUUUUCUUCUUCCCCAAGUUUAAUUUUUUUUUCCACCAUUAAAGAAAAUAAGCAUGAAUUGAAAGACCCAAUGUUAGCAAAGUGAAAAAGGAAAAAAAGACAUAGUUUUUAUGAUUGACCUGGUGAAAAAAUAGGGCAAGAUUAUUCCGAGCAUAGCUAAUGAGCUAAAAGGGUUUUCCGGUUGUUGCUGUAAAUUGAUUGAGAUGCAGAUGCAGAUGUUUGCUCUCCCACAGCCUUCGAAAAUGGAAAGUUAGCUCCUUUUGGGGACAAAGAGGGAGAAAAGAUUUUGUUAGUAAGAAAAAAAAUAGAAGAGACAAUUGUUUGUAGUGAAAAAUUGUGCGUAAAUGGCCAAUCCGUAAUUCCUUGGGCCGUUUGACGCCGCAACUCCCACUUUGCUGGUUAAAAGCAAAGAGUAAUAACCUUGUCUUUUCCUUUUCAUUGUUUUGGUUUUUCUCUCUUAAAGAAAAUAUUAGAUAUACAAAAUUAUCAUUUAUUAUUUUUAAAAAGUAUUAUUUAAUUAUCUUUAUAAUAUUUAAAAAUUAGAAGUCUAAAACAUAUGGUAUGAAGAAAAAUAUAUUUUAAAAAUUAAGAAAUCCUAAAAUAUAUGAUAAAAAGAAAAUAAAUUAUAAGAAGUAUUAGGAACAUUUUCUCUCAUCAAUAUGUAUUAUUAUUAUAUAUAUAUAUACUAGUCCUGAACACGUGCGUUGCACAUGUGUCCCAUGUUAAAUUGUGUGGAGUUAUUGUAUAAAUAUAAACUUUUCAAUUGAUAUUUUCUCAUUCUUAUUGUAACUAAUCUAUUGGUUAGUGUGCUCCAUAAUAUUAGAAUAAACGUAUUCUUUUUUUGCAAAGACUAAAACCAAACCUUCUAAUAUGCAGAAAUAAUGAAACAAAAAAUUAAUCAAUUUUCAAUACAAUGAGAUAAUUUCUUAUUCAACAUUUCUAUUCUUUUUAAUAUUUUAGUACACCUGCAUCCAUAAAACAUAAAGUUUUUUUUUGUUUAUGUAGAAUAAUGGGAAAAAACACAAUGUGAGGAUUACCAAUAUCAAGUGAAAAGAAUAAAUAAUGAACAUGAAGCAAAAUUAAGUCAGUCUAAAUAUCUUAAAUAUUUAAAUAAUGAAGAAGAAAAAUAGUUGAUGUCUUAAAUGUAAUAUAUAAUCCAACAGAAUAUUUAUUAUUUUUGGUUGAUUAAAAGGAGUCCAUAAGAUUGUUACGGAAAUCAAUUGAAACAAAGCCAAGAACCAUUGAUAAAAAAAAAGUAAGUAAUGAAGAGUCAUUUUAAGAAAUUAUAAAAAUCAUGACUACACUUGAAUUGGGGUUCAUUUUAUUAUUGUAUUUGAACAAAUAUAAUAAUGAUUUGUAGUACUAAUAACAUUAAUGAAGAAUAUGAAUAGAUGAAGAAAGGUAUUUAAGAAAAUGGAAUAAAUGACAAUAAUAUAAUAAGAAAAGUUAUACCGUAUUUAUUUUCUAUUGAAUAAAUCGAAAGAAAGAAAAGGAAGGGGGGGGUUUAAGAAAUUAUAUAAAUGUCAAUAUUUAUUAAGAAAAGAAAUAUAUAUAUCUUACAUAUUUUUAAAUUAAAUGAAGAAGAGGAAAAGAAAAAAAUGGAGAAAAAAAACAAAAAAACAACAUAAUUUUGGGUAAUUAGUGUACCUAAUUCUUGAGAAGGAAUAAAUAGUAUUGAAUCAUUCAUUGUCAUAUUUACACAUAAAAAUAAAAAAUAAAAGAUAAAAGAAGAUAAAUAUAUUUCUUGAUAAAAAAAAUAUGUCAUAUGACCUAAUCAAUAUUCAUCGUUACAUAUUCCAAAAAAACACUAGGAAGAUGUUGCUAAUAGUAAAGUCCAAUAAAAGAUGUGACUUUCUAUAUAAAAUUAAUAAAAUAUGCUAGGUUGUAAAGGUCUAGAAAGAUUUGAUUAGUAUUUUCCACAAAUUAUUAGUGCUUGAUUGUUUUUUUUUUUUAUUGUAGACAUAAAAUGUUUCUAAAAGAUGCAUAUCUAUAUGAAAUAAAAAAUAUGUACUUCGUAGAAACUGUGUGUGCAUUACAUUGAACCAAAAAUAAGGGCAAAGCACACAAAAUGAACUCAUGUGGAUCUACAUUGAAAUAAAAAUAAAAUAAAAAAGGCAAUGAUGAACAGAAUUCUAACCAUGCUUUAGUGCAGCAGAGAACCUUUCGCGCUUGUGAAAUUCACCAAAUCACCUGUGCUCCACUAACAGUCCAAUUUCUCAAAGUUUCUAAUGUUUGUAUGUUUAUUCUCUCAAGGAAUAUGAUUUUCAGCAAUUGAAUAAUAGUUUUUUGAGUGUUGAUACUCAUGGUAUUCAAUCAUUGCUUUUAUAUAUAUAUAUAUUUGUUAAUAUCUGUUAUUUCUAUUACUCUCCAAAUCUCAUUUUGUCAAAUUAUAUAAACAAUACAAUUGAAUAGUACUUCUUUGAGUGCUCAAACACAUUUAUAUUGCUUAUAUAAUCUCACAAAGUGAGGUUUGGAGAGUAAUAGGAAUUUAAGAAAUAACAUAUAUUGACAAAUAUAUAUAUAAUAAGCAAUGAUCGAAUACCAGAAGUAAUAAAAAAAAAAUCUAUCAAAGUGAUUGUAAGCUCACUUAAAAGUGAAUAACUAAAAUUACUAAUUAUUAUUUGUUAAUACAACAUUGAGAUAAACACAAGAAUUUUAUGAACAAAAUAGUACUCCUACAAGGGAUUAUUCACAAUCAUAAAAACCCAAGAAAAUAAAAUAAAAUAGAGUAGACAUACGGCAUCUCAAAACGAUCAAAAUAAAGAAAUGUGAACGUGUUGUUGGCUACCGAAAGAAAAUAACUUCUUAUUAUUGAACAAAACUUGUGAUCAUUUGAGACUUUUAAUAGAUCUAAACAAAAAUAAAAAAGUUUACCUACUUCAAAGCUCCCAAAAGUGACAGCAUUGAUUGAGCCAAGAGGUUCACUGCUUUCUUAUUUUUUUGGAUGAAGACUGCUGAGUUCUCUAAUUUGAAAAAGUCAGUAUUAUGAGUCUUUUCAGUUUUUUAUUUAAUGUAUUUUUAUAUCUUUUUUAUUUAGUUUAGGGGUAAAACGAUAAUUUAACUUUUGACUUAGAUUCUUCCCACUUAUAAUAAUAAUAUAUAUAAAUAUAAAUAAAUAAUAUAUAUAUAUAUAUAUUCUUAAGUUAUUUGUUAUUAGAUAAAGUUCCAAAAAAGGUAGCAAAAUAAUUAUUAUACUUUUUAUAUUCUUUCGUUUUUAGUUUUUAAUUGCUUCCAAAAAGUUAUUCUUUAUUAUUUAUGUGACAUUAUUAUAUACGGAAGUUAAAAUUGUGAAAGAGUUAAAUCAAAGACAAAUACAUCAAUUUAUAUAUAUUACAGGUAAUGUGAAGUUUCUUCUUUCAUCGCAACUUUAGAUUGUCAAUGUUACUUUUAAUUUGUUACAAUUAAUUGUGUUAUAUUAUUAUAUGUUCAUACAUAAUGUAGUUUGUUUUUCAUUUACCUACUAUUUAAAAUGUGUUUUCAUGUAUUAUCAACAAAAUUUUGACUUUUGAAUAUCAAUAACAGUAUAUUUAAUUUUGCUCCUUAAUUGUUAGUGUAACGAUGAGUUAUCAUGUUCCUUAUAAGUACAUUUUUUAUCUUAAGAAGUUUAUGAUAUUUAAAAAAAAAUUAUACUUAAAUUAUAGCAUACACAUGAUAACUUCUUUUUAUAUACAUUCAUUAUUAAUUAACGUGACGCACACACAGAAACAUGUACAUUUAACUAAUCUAUAUUUUUUAAAAAGCAUGAAAGCUCUUUAAAAUGUUAAAUGGACUUUUAAACCUUUAUUAAAAUACUCUACAAUAGAAAGCUAUCGUUUACUAUUAUUUCUCAAAUUAUUAUUUGAUUAUGUUCAUAAUAGAUACGAGACUCUUAAACUUGAAAAAGUUUAAAGUAGAAGUCCUAAGUACUCCCCUUGUCUAACAAUACCUGUUUAUUAUUGAUUUUCUACACUUUUUAAGAAACUAUAAAUAGAAGGGUAAUUUUACUAUAUUACCCCUUUAAUAUAAUAAAUGCAAUGUCUUGAAAAAUGUAAUGGAAAAAUGACUAUAAUUAAUAAUAAGGGUAAAUUAGGAACUAAGUGUAAAAUUAUCCAUUAACUAGUAAAAUCACCCGUGCUUCAUGCGGAAAUUUAAUAUCACAUAAUUUAUAAAAUAAUACUUAAAAUCUAUGAGUCAUUAAAAUUAAAACACUAUAUUAUCUUACAUAUAAGAUUACGUAGUAACAAACAGUAAUAAUAUAAAGGAAGAUGAUAAUUAUAGUAUCUUAUCAUUUAUCCUUCAAUCAAUCAUCUUUGAUUUGAUUUUAUAAUUUAUCUUUUUGCCCAGGAAAUGUUAUUACUUGAUAUUUUUGGGGAUUCAAAUGAACAUCAACUGUACCGGAGAUAUUAAAUUUUCUAAUAAAUAAAUAAUCGUUGGUGAAGGGAUAAAUGAAUUUUAAAAGGAUGAAAAAAAUGAACAAAUAUUCUAAUUCUAACGUGUAGAAAGUUCAAGUCUAUCUUUUGUUUUACAUAUAUCAUUUUAAAGUUCUCCAUUUAAAUGUAUCAUAAGUAAUUAUUAAAAUAAAAAAUUAAAGUGAGAUUGUAUCAUAUUGGACAACAAUUCAACUUAUUAUGUAUACUUGAAAGGGAGAAAUAUUACACAAAUUAUUCAGUUUGUUUGGGUGUUUUUAAAAAAUCAACCAGAGUGAUGAAGUUCAAUUUGAAACUACACUUCUAUUCCAGUAGCAGUGUCGAGAAACACAUCCAUUACUUCAAGAAAGUAUUUACAACUUGCAGUAAACUUGAGAAUUUGUCAAUACUUCAUAUUGAAUAUGACCAAAUAAUUUAUUGUGUAGUUAUCUAUGUCUUUGGGAUUAAAAGAGGCUCCAGUGUAGUCAUAUUCCUCUAUAGGUCAUCAGGCACAUCCUUGAACCCAUGUCAAAAGUUUAUUAAUUCUUGUCUUCUUUUCCUAGUUCACUUCGCACAUCAAGGUGCGAUAAAGAUUUUUAAGGGUUUUCUAUCCUUAUAAUGACAUACCAAAUUUGAAUUUUGUCUUUAAGAGAUGGUAGUAUCGAUCUUUAAGGAAUUUUUUUUACUGUACCUUCAACAAUUUCAGUAGAGAAAACUUGUGUGAAUAACAAUAACUUUGCAGAAACACAAACAAUGAAGUUUAUAACAUGUACUCAAAAACAACAAUUAAUAACAUAAGCAUAAAUUAAUGGCUGUAAAAAAAACAUACCAGGAUCUGUAACAAUAGGAUGAAAUAGAAAGGAAAAAAUUGUACACGAAUAUUUAAUUGUGCAGAAGAAGAAGUUCAGAAUUUUCGUUGUUUUAAAAUGAGAGGAAAUUCCUUUAUUUAUAGCUAGACAAUGAAGGGUAGUGUGAACAAAUGUUUAUUAUGCCUUAUCGGAAAGGUCACAACUCUUUAGAAAAGUUACAACCCUUCGAAAAGGUCAUAACCUUUCAUAAAAGGCACAACUUUUCAUAAAAGUCGCAACUCUUCAUAGAAGUUACAACUUUCAUAAAAAUCAUAACUUUUCAUAUAAAUCACAAUUUUUCAUAAAAGUCACAACUUUUCAUGAAUAUCACAACUUUUCAUGAAAGUGGAAGACUAGUUUUGGAAAUAAAUAAAUUAAAAAAGGAAUUUUGGUUUAUGGUGGCGCCACGUAGACGGGCCUAGGGUUCUCUUUUAUAUAUAAUAGAUGAUAUGAUUUCAUAAAGUGGAUAAAUAUUAUUAGAUAUCUCAUAAUAGUAUAAUAGACAAUUAUUAUUAAACAGAGUAUAUGAUACAGAGGUAUUAGAAUUUUUUUUGUAAACUCCUAGUCCUAGAUAUAUGAGAAAGAGAAUUAACAUUUGGUGUAUUUACUUUUUCCCACAUGAAUAUAUGGAAAGGAAAAUUAAUGUUUGGUAUAUUUACUUUUUUCCACAUGAAUAGAGUAUAUGGGAAGAAAAAUUAAUGUGUUACUAUAAAAAUUGGGAAUGAAGUACUCUCUCCAUUCUUAUUUAAUUGUUAUCAUUUUAGAUUUCACGUUUUUUAAGAAAUUAAAUAAGUUUACUAUUAUAUUCAUGUUUAGUAUUCUCUUGAAGUCAAGUUUUUUUUCAAUCAAUAAACAUGAAUAAGUUUAUUUUGAUUAAUUAAUUUGACCAAUGAAAAUAAUAUAUUUACUUAGUUUUUCUAUAUUGGUCAAAUACAUAUUUUCAAGACAAAUAAUUCUCAAAGAUAAAAUAGGAAGAAUAAUGUCAUUCAUCCAUUGAUUUUGUGAAAUGACAAAUAUAAAAACAUCUAUUUAUAAUAAAAGCGACAUAUAAAUAGAAACAGGAGGGAGUAUUAUACUUAUUACAAGUGAAACUUCAAUUACUGUCUAUUACUCCUCGAUGAAGAGCAGGCCACAAUAUACUCCCUCUAUCCAACAAUAUUUGUCUAUUAUUGACUUUACACACUUUUUAAGAAAUUAUAAAUAGACGAGUAAUUUUACUAAAUUCUUCUUUAAAUAUGAUAGAUACAAUGUUAUAAAAAAUGACUAUAAUUAAUGAUAAAUGUAAUUAGGAACUAAAUGUAAAAUUGUCCAUUGAUUUCAAACAAUGGAUAAAUAUUACUGAACAUGUCAAAAUAAUAUAAUAGACGAUUAUUAUUGGACAAAGAGAGUAUUAUAUACAUAUUAGUACUCCUUCAGUCUUAUUUAUGAUUAGUUAGGUAAGUCCUGAUAUUUUACACUUUAAAAUCUUUUGAGAAAAGGAAUUCUUAACAGACCUAUUUUUUGUCAGAAUAAACACCAAUAUUCAUUCCUAUUUUCAUGUUGCAGCAUUUUCAAAGUCAGGAAAGAUGCAAAUUCAGUUGCAUGAUGAGUAGAAUCUUAAUACAAAAUAAAUGCUUUCAGCCUUUCACUAAACAAAGCAAUUUCAAUUUGUUUCUCACAUUGACUUGCAUUGUCAUGAAGAAAGUACGAGGGGCAUAGAAACUUCUACGAAUAAAUAAUUAACACUUCAGUAAAUUCUGGUACAGACUGACUGACAACUCUGGUCAUACACAGUUAGCCUCCCAUAUUGAUCGGCUUUAAUAAUUUGAUCUAAAUCCCAUUCUUGAUGUAAUACUAGUUUUACUAACUUUAAGUAGUAACCUAACAGACAAGGGAGAUUCUGUGAUACAAUCUUGUAACAUUACUGGAUUCACAUUGAUCCAGUGUCUAUCAUGCAUCAAUGAAUCUGAUGUUAAAGCUAUCAGGAUGAAUCUGCCACACAUUCAAGGCUGCAUAUUCUUCCAAACACUCCUUGAGUUGAGCUUCACUGUAUCCCUGUUCCAAGAUAAAGCAGUAACACAUCAGAGGCGAGAGAACUCGUACCAAAAAGUCAGUACCAUGCCCAAGGAAAAAACAAUUUAAGCCAGAAUAUAGGACUUGUUGAGUUAGAUAUUGAAUGCCAGCAAGAAAUGUAUACAAUGUCUCAAAAUGAAACAUCCAAAUGAGGUUGCCCUGAAUAGAUAAAUCUAGAGAUACGUCCCAACUAGUUUGGCAUGAUCUUAGCUGAUUGCCAUCACUUGCAAGUUGCGGGAAGAUGAAAACCAAUUCAGUUGGUUAAAAACAUGGGUGGAUCUGAUUAUGAGUAAAGAAAGCUAUGUGAAUCUUUGUUCACCACAAAGGACUCACUGUAAAGAAUUGUGGGAAUGAACUGGUACUGUAUCAAUAGCCAGCUUGAUGUCAUGACCUGCUUCAUCAUCGUGCCACUUAAGUGCCAUGUGGCAUAAACUUAUCCAUGUGGAAGUUUUACAUUGGAAGAAGGCUAGCCCAUAGUGGAAGGUUCGUGAAAGAUUCAUGAGUGAGUUACCAGUGCCGCACAGUACUAAGUAGAAUUUUAAGGCCAUGGCAUUGAGCUAUUUAGUCUGAUAUGAUUUGUUCUUUUUUUUCUCUUAAACGGGGAAUGACAGGGUGGUGGAGGGAAUUUCAACAACAAUAAGAUGAACUAGCAGAUUUUGGCCUUGCAUCAAGCAAUACUUUAGCCAAUAGCAAAAAGAUGUUCUACCAAAGGCUUUUUUCACAGAACAUAAAUAGUUCAUAAAAGGUUGCCAUAUGUAUCAGUAUUGUAAAACCUAAAGGGAUUUAUCAUUCUGCAUGUUUCCUUCCCAAAAGCAUGAAAUCAAUGCAGUUGGACACAACUUCAUUGAGAAACCAUGGCACAAACAAUUUUGAUAAAGCUUGACAGAUCAUGCAAAUCUAUUUUCUUUUUCUUUUCUAUGUUUUAAUCACAACUAUCUACCUUUACUUCUUGACAACUGUAUCAUCAGAUAAUGGGUAAGUGUGAAUUGUAACAUAUUCUCUAAGCAGUAAUUUAUCAUGCAUGUGCACUAGAUCCAAGUAUAUGUUUCAAGCUACCAACACGGUGUGCUUCCAGCUUCAUCUGGCAUAAUUGCUCACAAACUAACCUUUCUGGAAAUCCAGUUCAGAGCCUGGGCAUAGCUUAGUUCCAGCCUGUUCAUCCUAGCAGCCUCAUCACGCAGGAUUGAAUAAAUGUCAGAUAUUGCAUCCAGGCCAGAUCUUUGCCGAUCAUCUGAAUACAAGGAGAACUUCGACAUCUGCAUUAGCCGAAGUGCCUCAUCCACAUCACUCUGAGCAACUUUUUCUGAGAAACGCAGUCUGGCAAGUGCCUAAUUUAACACAGUAAAUGACAUCAACACAGUGUAAAGAAUGAUUAAAAAGGACUUUUAUGACAUUCGCUUGACUAAAUUGCCAUCAUCACUGUCUAUUUGACCUUAUGAUUAAGCGAGACAACUAUAUUUAUGACCACCUUAUUAUCAAUUAAGCUGUAAAACCUAGAAUCAGGAUUGCAAGGUCCAGGAUUGUCUUGGGAAGCAAAGCCUUACAUUUGCAAGGACUCCAUAUUUCCUAAUGAUAGCUAACCUACUUUCUGCUUUUUAGCCUCUCAAACCAAAGAGAAAACAAGAAUGUUUCCUCAUUCAGUUUCUUCCACAUGGCACUUGCCAAUUGUCAUACUUGAUUCAUUACAAGUUUUCCACUUUCAAAUAAGAGUUGAAGAGAAAAAUAGGCCCAACUCUUACUACGACGCAAUGUGAUACUUUAACUCUGUAAAUUGAUGCAGAAACUUACAGAUGAUAUUCUCAGGAUGCUUAGAAGUGUUCUGACGGUUGUAUAGGAGUGAGGGGUGUUUGAUUUUGCUUCUUCUUGCCUGAUACUAGAAUAUGCACCAGCAAUAUAGUCCUCUAGCUCCUUUGGUACAGAGGGAGACAAUCUCCUUGCAGCUGAUAUAUAAGCCCUGAAAUAAAAUAAAAUGGAUGUAGGUUUGCUCAGUCAAUUCUAAGCCUCACUACUAUCUUGUAAAGGGAGGUUCUCUUGAAGGUUAAAACACCAGAAAGAUAUUCUUGUAUUUACCGAAGCACAGAUGGUUCAAGUGGAGUGAACCCAAGAGCAGGAGAUUCUUUGUUUUGAUGCACAUAAACCACAUGUCUAGCCAAUUCAAGAUCGGAAUCCAUAUCUGCUCGAUCUAAGAUUAGCCAUAAAAGAUCAAAUCUUGAUAGAAGAGCUGGAGGAAGAUUAAUAUUUUCAGCUGGUGUCCUUCUCAUAUCAUAUCUUCCCCUAAGAAUGUUUUGAACAAAAAAUCGUCAGUGUUUAAAGUUUGUGCAUUAACACAAUCAACUGCCUGCACAAAUAAAUCAGAUGACCAUUUGUUGCAAAAUUUAGCAUAUUUCUACAUACAGGAAAAGUCAAAAUUCUAAAAGAUAGCAGUUGCUUCUCAAUGUUUUCAACAAACCAAAGGGGAAACAGUAAAUGUUUACCAUGCAGGAUUAGCAGCAGCAAGCACUGCAGUCCUUGCAUUUAGAGAUGUAGUGAUCCCAGCCUUUGCAAUACUAACAGUCUGCUGCUCCAUUACUUCAUGAAUAGCUGUUCUAUCAGAGUCGUCCAUCUUGUCAAAUUCAUCAAUAGCACAUAUACCCAUAUCUGCUAAUACCUGAGAAAAACAUUGUCCACAGAAUACUUGAGAAAUAGAUGGUUGAACGUUGCCUGAUACAGUUCCAACUCUGAAUGCACAUUGCUCACACCAUGAUAUUUUCCAAAACUCAAUGAAGUAGAUGUUAAAAAAGAAUUAAUUUGUUCUCACCAGUGCUCCGCCUUCAAGAACCAUCUCAUUAGUUACUGGAUCUUUCUGAACAGCAGCAGUUAGACCAACUCCACUGCUACCCUUACCAGUUGUGUAAACACCUCUGGGUGCAACAUUGAUUAUGUGUUUGAGAAGCUGGCUCUUUGCUACCCCGGGAUCACCCAUCAAACAUAUAUGUAAAUCACCUCUGAUCUGAGUUUUUUUCGUCAUAAAGAUGAAUAAGAUUUUCUUAAUCUGAGGAGUAGGCAGAAGAUGGAUUUCAAUUUAGGUCGGAGAGCUUACCUUCAUACCAUCCUUCAACUGUCGAUGAGGAGCACCCACUAGAAGGAGAAGAAGAGCUUUCUUAAUAUCCUCAUGCCCAAAAAUUUCAGGAGCCAAGGAACGAGACAACUUGUUAUAUAUAUCUCCAUCCUCAGCUAACCUUGCAAUCUGCUCUUCCUCAUCUCCUCUAAGUUCAUAACUGCAUCCGAAAACAUAUUAAUCAUAUAUUCAUCACUAAGAAAUUAAGCAAGUAUAGAAACCUUAUCUUUUCUAUCUCAACAGUGAACACAUAAUUCUUUGUGAGAAAAUGGUUAUGCAUAAAUCAAAUUUACUAGUGGUGCCCAAACAUUCCAAAUAGGAAACUAGAAAAGAUUUAGAUUUGAUGUGAAGUAGUCUGAACCUAUUCCAAGCACAAUAUUUCAAGAACGCUCAAAGAAAAAAUAAUAAAUAAAUACAUUAAAUUAUAUUAUGUUUCAAAUUUCACUUCUUUUAGAAAUGAUUUGGAUUUAAGCUCAAUCUGGAAUCAAGUUCCUCAAUUUGCUAAAACUUAAAAGCAGACUCCGAUUCUUCAUGGAAAAGGUGAUGCAUUGCAUUAGUUAUGUUUGUCCAGUUGCUAGUAGAACACAGAAUCCAUAUCAAGAAGCACUACUAGCAGAACAUGAAGACAAAAGAAUUACAGUAAAGGGAAAAAGUAACAAUAGCUUACUCUUCAUAUUUUUUCUUGAAAUGGCUAACAGACAUUGCUUCCAAGUACGUAUCUGCAAUUAACCCAGCUCGCAUAGCUCUAAAUCCUGUGUAAGGCAUAGGUAGAAAAAUGCCUGACAGUUCAACAACGUCACCAGGAGAUACCUGCAAUUUUUAGAAAAGCAGCAGCAUAUGUUACACUUAAGUAGGUAGUGAAAGCUUUAGAGGAACCCUUUUAAGAAGAUGUUCACUGGAGCUUUAAGUUUGUUGGGAUCAUUUGAUCUCACCUUCUAACUCAAUCUAGAAAGCAGUUUAAUGUCCUUGACAUUUACUCCACACUAGACAAACUCCUUUCAAAAACACUAAGGAAAAACAUAAAUAAACAAAAAAUAUCACCAACCUUCCUUGUAAGUUCUCCUCUGAAGUGCACAGUCAUUGAUCGCGGAAUGUGACCUUUGGGUACAUGUUCAGCCAACUCUUGAAUUUUGGCCUGAAUCAAUGUCAGAAAUGUAAAACAAUUGUGCUGCAGAUUUGAUAUUGUAAUCAAGAUUUAAUGCAAAAGACAAACCUCUUGAAACUUUAAAAACUUUGAUGCCCGAAGUUGAAGGAUGAGGUUCCCUUUUGCUUUAUUUACAGUGCAGCGUUUGGAUGGGCAUUCAAACAGAGGCAUGAAUACUCUUGCAGUUACUUCCUAUUCAUCAAGUGCAUUAAGAUAGGCGCAUUAGAUCUGAAACAGUGUAGCUUUGCCAUGCUACUUAACAUUGUUGCAAUUUAAUUUAACGCUAGCAUUGUGGCUCUCGUACUGCAUUUAGCAAGUCAAAAAUAAAGAGUUAAGUUUUUAAGACAAGCACAACAAAAGUUCAUACCUGAUAGAUUUCAAAUCCACAUUCUUCACAUGUAUAUACAGCCACCUGCAUCAGUGGUUUGACGUCCGAACAACGUGUCACAAUACCAGAUAUCCUGACAAGCUGACCAAUGUAUGAAGCCUUGACCUCCCUAAUUGUAAAGGGCCGACCUUUUGAGGAUGCUUUGACAUACACUUCACUGGAUUCAACAAAGACAAACAGUUAGGCGGUUAACCCAUUCAGAAUUUCCACUUUCUGUCUUUACUUAGGAAUUAAGUUACAAGGCCAGAUCAUAUAGGGACAUUCUAUUUUCACCUGGGAACUUGACUGCCUGGUAUAUUAACACAAACAAAUUAUCACACAUAUCAUCAUGUUGUUUUGAGAUUAACUAAAUAAGUCCAUCUAAUUCAUAUCAUACAGUUAACAAAAGCACUCCUAAUUAUGCUGAAAGAGAGAACAUAAGAUAUUCUUACUACUUAUUAGGUAAGCUGAUUUAUUGGAGAAAGUAGUACCAAGAAGAUACACAAAUAUAAAGUCCAGCAGAGAGACCAAAAAAUAUAUAGGCAAAUUAAUUCAUAAAGUUGGAUUCUUGAGGAUAAUAUAAUGCUUCUUACUAGAACCGCUUGAUCUCCGGGGGCAUCUUUUGUUUUGGAUCAGAACCAUCAGUGUUCUCGGUUACUUCCUCUGAUCGCUGAGUCAUCAAAAUAUCAUGAUCAUCAUCUGGAAGAGCUUCCGUUGGCUCUGGCAUGAGCUCAUCAAUCGCACUAGCUAAUAUUGUGAUAUAUCGUUUAGUGUUCUCAGCAAUUCUUCGAAGAAACUCCUCAUCCAAGUCCUUGUACUGAAAGAGAAUUUCAAAAUCAUGUUAAGAGCAAAAAAACUUCAAACGAAAAACACCACAUAGAGAACAACCAAUCCAUAAAAAGUACAGUAAUUCAGAGGGAAGUAGUGGUACUUACGUCCGCUAAGUCUUCGAGCUCAAUCUCAAUAGCCUUGGUUUUACGAUUAGCAACAUCUUGCUAAGUAAAAGUUAAAACAGAAAACAAUUAGCAAAAAAAUAAGAACAUUUCUUAAACGAAUAUAUUCACUAAAACAGCGUAAAGGAGUUUUUCAACUUGAAAAUCAACAGAAAAACUGGAAAAUGAGAGGAACUUACGAGAAUGUUCAUGUAUUUGGCUUCACCAUUAGAAUCAGCGAAGUUCGACAGAAAAUCUUUUGCUAGAUCUGUAAAAUGAGAGACAAAUUAUUGACAGCAUAAGAUGAUUAAAUCAAAAGAAAAGGUGAAUCCAGAAUUUGAAACCACUUGAUGCAAUCGAAAACCGUUACCUUUGUCGCGGUUGAAGUCAAGAUCAUUCAUGGUGUUUGAAUGGAGGCAGAGAGAAUCGAGAGGAAGCUUGUGAGAAUGAGGGUUUGGGGGGAAAUUGAUACUAAAACACAAGCAAUUUGGCGGCAAAAUAGUGAAGGUGUUUUGGCGGGAAAAAACUGGGCUAGGUUAUGUUCGCCUGCGUUACGGGUGUACGUCCACGGUCCACACCGGACCCGGAAAAACAAAAAUGAAUCAGCAAAAAAGUUGCUGCUGAUUAAAUUAAAAAAAUAUCGACUCAUUGAUAAGACGGAACCAAUCAAUAUGAAAUAUAAUUAGGUGUAGUAGGUAGUAGAAUUGAUAAUUUGAAGUCACAUUUUAAUUUUAAAAAAAAUUAGAUUCUUUAAAUCUUAUAAUAUUUAAUAUAUAGUUUAAUUUCUAUAAAAGGAGAUAUGACAUUACUGCUAAAAUAAAAAAGUUUUAGAAUUAAAACUUACUAAUAUUAAUUGCAUUUUCUUGAAUCAAAUCAAACUAUAAAGAUAAUAACUAGAAUGAAUUAAAACAAGGCUAAAAUCUACUAACUUAUACUACCAAAUUAAUUAUUCCAUUUCUCCUGCAUUUCAAGUGUUAUGCAUGACGGUCAUCAAUUUGAACGAUUUCGUUAUAGGAGGAACUCAUUGUUAAAUUAUUUCAUCAAUUCCUUUUUAGUUGUAAUUUUAAACGUCUAUAUAGUAUUCAAGAAAAAAUUAAGUAGGAGUAUAGUUUGACUAAUAUAUUUCUUAUUAAUUCUUUAAUAUUUAUUUAUUUAUGUCCCUCUUAAUUCUAAAAUAAUUAAUGUUAAGGAUAGAGUUGAAAAAUAAUAAUUAAUCCUCUCUUAAGUCUUUGAUUGUUUAAAUUAAUAGUAACUAUUUUGGAACAAAUAUUUGUAUACACAAUAACUAAAAAAAAUGGAGGAAGUAUAACACAAAUAUUGCUUUAAAUGACAUUAUUAUUAUUAUUAUUAUUUGAAGAGUCAAAUAACUUUUUUAUAUAUAUUUUGGUCUAAUUCAUAAUUACAUAAAAAGUGAUUGAGAAAUUGAUGUCUGGAUUAAGACAAAAUUAGAAAGUCUUUAACGAAUCCUAAGCCUUUUAUUCUUUCUUUUUUUGUUUUUCGCCCGACGUGUCUGGAGCCCAUAUUGGAGCCCCAAUAAAAUCCAGAUCACAGAAAUGGCUCCCCUAAUAAGAUUUUUCCAUCACUGCACCACACUUAUGUUGGAUUUUUCAUUCAUUUUGAAACAAAGCAAUCAUAAAUUAGACUAAUUUUAGCUCAUGCCCUAUAGGAGUGUGCAAAAGUCUAAUAAAAAAAAUGUUAUUGGGUUAAUGAUUUUUAAUAGUUUUUUAUAUAAAAAAAAUAUUGAUUUAUUGCUUCGAUAUUAGUUUUUUAUUAUUGAGUUAUUGAGUAAAUUGAUAACCCAAUAAGAUAAUAGUAAUUUACUACUUUAUCCUUACACAAAUAUUAAAUAUUAUAUCAAUACCUUAUUGAUUACUAUCUUUGUCAUUUUGCCUUCAAUUAACAUUAUUGUCCUAGUUCUUUUAUUUGAGUUGCACUUGUAUAGUUUUUUUUUUCCUUUUAAAUGUUAGUAUUGUUUUUGUUUUAUGAGCAUUCCAUAAAGUUACAUUAUUGGAGAAGUCAUAUAAUUAUUUCAUGAGUAUUUUCUUAUUUGUUAAACCGAAAAUCAAUUAAAAACAUCUUAUUAAUUUUGUUAUUAGUUUAGUUUAUUAAAAAAAUCAAAAACCAAUAAACCAAACCAAUAAUACAUAACAUCAAACUAGACAGACCGAUGCACAUCCUAAUACCCCUGAGUUCAUUUUUUUUUUCUUCAUGUUUUACCUUUAAUAUUAAUUACUAAUUUCCAAAUUGUUUCUCAAAACCUUACACUAAUCAUUAUUUCUUAAGCGGUUUGAAAAUCCAAAGUUUUUAAUAACAAAAUAUAUUAAACAGUAAUUUGAUGACCAGAAUUGGUAAUGUUGACAAUGAAAGUAAAUCUUAGAAGUUAAUUUGGGGGUUUAGGGAAUAAAAAAUAAACAAAUGAUCCAUUGAUCAUAAUAAAAUGAGGUAAAUAAAAUGAAUUGACAAAUUACAAAAUCCAGUGUACCCCUUCUUUCAUUUGGAAAAUGCUGCCCCUUAAUGAACUAGUGAUCCAUGAAUUCAGUUGCAAUGUAAUUGGUCGUGAAACCAGGAGAGCUGCUUGGCAAUGCUUCCAUUCUCUAUCAAAGUGAUGCAUAUGCUAUGGACCUAUGGUGAAUGCUUAUCUAUAGAGGAUUCAAUUAGUUUAACUGAAUCCACUAAAUUCAAGUCGAAUCACUUAUACAUAUGUAAAAAGAAAAAGAAAAUAAAAAAUGUGAACAUAUAACAUGUCACAUCCAUUCUGAACUCGAUGACUCUAAAUCUUGAAAUCAUCUCUGCCCAGAAAGGCUUUAAAGCAAGUUUUUUCUUCUAAUAUGUACCUAGCAUUGAGUGUUAUGCUUUACCUAUUAAAAAAAAUGCAUUGGGUGUUAUAUUUUCUGAUUACUUCCAGCUCAGAGUCGCAGUAGCACGAUGCAUUUGAGCUCCCAGCCUCCCAGAUUAUUAUGAAGUAGAGCUCUGGUCCGAAUUCUUUGCCAACUUUGCUUGGGUAAGCCUGUCCAAGAUGGCUGGUUCCAGAGGGAUGGGAUCAAGACAACGUUCAGCAGCAGCAACAAUCACCUGUUCAGCAAGAAACACUCUCUCACACAUUUUGCUAGAUAAUAACCGUUGAAGCAUUCAACUUUCAGUAUGUGCAGUGAAGACCAACUUAAUGAUUUCUACUACAAAGUCAAAUCUAUUAGGAAGAGGGAGAAAAGAGGUGGGGAAGAGUUUAGGGAGGAAACAACUGAUCGAUAGCAACUAAACAUAGAUAAUACAGAACCUUUCAGGACUGUUUGAAGGUGGUCAUUAAGAAGAAAAUAUAGGAAAAAGCCCAUUAAAAGAGUAGCUGUUAAGUAUAAUAGCUGUGGAGAUUCUGUCAUUACCUCAUCAAGCAAAAAAUCAACAGCUGCUUCAUCUUCAGCAGUAUCUUUAAGAGUGGUCUUAAGAAAGUGAAUGUCCAACUGAAUUUGUUGAAAUCCACUCCGAUUAAAAGUCUGAAGUCGGACAAAUUCUUGUAAACUCUUCAAGAAAAGUUUUAUAAUCGUAGUUAUGACUGAUUCCUGCACAGUAAAUAAUUCUUAUUCCACUGUUCUCCAAAAUUAGUGCAGGUAGUUGAGUUACAAGCACUAGAAUCAAACCUGUGUGUGUUCAACUUUAGUAAAUAUUUCCAUCUUCUGCUUAAACAAUUUUGCUAAAUGGGACUCAAGAAGCUGACUCCUAGCCUUUUGGGUAUUUGAUCGUACCAGCCUAUCAUCUCUCAACGGAUUACUACGAGAAGAAGUGGUACUCCCAUUGCUGUCUGUGCGUCGAUGCUUAGGCUGUAGUCCUUCAGGCAAUAUUUGCUUCACUUCAUUAAGGAUUGUAUCCAGCUGAAUUAAUGACAUCAAACAGAAAAAGUUAAAUUUUUCUACUGAACUAGUCAUAUUAACUAUUAUAGGAGAAGAAACAAUAGUGUAUAUCAUAUGAAGUCAAAAGGUGCCAUUUUUCUCCCUCUCGGUGCUUCAAUUUCCUAUUACAAAAACCUCAUACUGGAAAGAGGAAGAGAAAAUGAGAACUGCAAAAUUUACCUCUUGAAGAAGCAGAUCAACGAACAUAUGAACUUCCCUGGGCUCUUUAUGCUAUACAAAGAAGGACAGAAAUUAGCACAAGCAAAUCAUCUUGAUGCUUACAAGUGAUUAGUGUUAGCUGACCAUGUCUGAUUACCUUAACCCAAUUUGGGGUUGUAAACCUCUUCUUCAACACAAUCAAGAUCUUCUGAGUUUUCAAGCUUAUAUACUGAAACAGGAGAUCGAAAUAGAGUUAAAACUCAGUAAUUUGAUUAAACUCUAAUUAUUAGCUGUCUACCAAGGAAGUACAUAAUAACAAAAAGUAUCAUAAGCUUCAUUUGUUGGUAUGGACAACAAAAUUCAUAAAGAACAAACUAGCACCACAUACUCAAUCAUUCAGAUCCUCCUAAUAUUCACAAGAAAAAUGGAGAAUAGCAAUUUAACCUCGGACAUGUAUGUUUUAAUGUACUUCAACAACAUCCAUAAUUAGUUAGAUCCAAUUUCUUAUUUACUCAUUAAUGCAAAUGUUGUGUUCUCAAUGGUAAAAAGAUCAAGUUCAAUGUUCAAUCACACCCCAGAAAUAACAAAAUCUUUAGCUUGAGUGACGAGAGUUCAUCAUGCUUGGCAAAAAGAUAAUAUGAAAUUCAAGGAAGUUAACAAACCUACAACAAGCAUAAAUGCAAGCCAGCCAGAAAUUCAUCAUAAAUCCCAUAUAACCAAGCAUCAAGAGAACUAGAGAAGUAUGCUCUUUAACCAUAUAAAGACAACAAAUGGGUUCUUAACAACCUACCUGAAUAAAUGAACAAUGGCAUUUAGCAGUUCAUGAAAGGUUUCCAUUUUUUUCAAGAAAUGCCAUGGUUUAUGUAUUCAGAGACCAAAAACAACGAAAUCAGUAAAUUAACUGAAUUAAAAGAGAGGCAGCAUGAGCAAACAAGUGGAACUGUAUUGAUGGACAAAUAAGUAGAAUGCUGGUCAUAAAAAAUAAUUAUUUGUAUAUUAAAAGAUACUGCAGAUCUUGGUUUAAUUGAAUACUAUUCAUAAUUCUUUUUAUUUGUCAUAAACUUGGAACUAUUUUUUUUCAUUCCUGAAGAGGUGCAUACAUGCAUCAAAAACAAGAUCAAUGUAGUGGUAUGUUAGACCAACUUUGUUAUAUGGGGCGGAGUGUUGGCCAGUCAAGAGCUCCUAUGUUCAAAAGAUGCAAAUUGUGGAGAUGAGGAUGCUGUAAUGGAUAUGUGGCAUACUAGGAGAGAUAGAAUUAAGAAUGAGGAUAUCCGAGACAAGGUGGUAGUGACCUCUAUGGUGGACAAUAUGAGGGAAGAGAAACUGAGAUGGUUUAGACAUGUAAAGAGGAGAUGCCCCAGUAAGGAGGUGUCAGGGAUUGGAUAUAGUGGGUAUGAGGAGAGGUAGAGGUAGGCUGAAGAAGUACUGGGAAGAGGUGAUUAGAUCGGACAUGGCGCAACUUCAACUCACCGAGGACAUGAUCUUAGAUAGGUGCGUAUGAAGGUCGUGGAUUAGGGUAGAAGGUUAGUAGGUAGUUGUGCUUUGACUAUAUUUUCGACAGAUUUAGGCUUGGUGGGAGCCUGGGAGCACCGGGUGUGUUGUAGUAUUAGUCUUAUACAUAUAUUUUCUUUCCAAUUAUCACAUUUUCCUGUUGUUAUUACAGUUUCUUUUCUUUGUAGGCUUUGUUCUGCCUUCCUUAUUGAUUGACAUGUUUCACUGUCGUAUUCCCUUUUCGUAUAUACUUUGUCUUGCUGCACUUGAGUGAGUCUUUCGAAAACAGCCUCUCUACCUUCCCGAGGUCAAAUUAAGGUUUGCGUACACUUUACCCUCCCUAGAUCCCACCUACUGGAUUACACCGAGUAUGUUGCUGUUAUUGUUGUUGAAUGUAGUGGUAUGUUAAAGAGUCCCUUCAAUUGAUAAUACAGAAAAUCGAUAUAUGGAAUUCAAAGGGAUCAAAUAGAAAAUAGAACUUUGAUCAUAGAACUAUAAUGAAAUAUAUGACCACAAUAACAACUGGAGGUAGACCUAUAUACUGUAAAUGUUGUUUGGUUCUUUAUUUCAGAAUCUGCAAGUUUCUAAAUUAUCUAUGAAUUUAAUUCUUUGUUUAAAUCACAAAAAGUCUAAUGAAUCGUGCACGUUGACUUUGUGAUUGCAAUCAAUUUCACGCUUUUAACAAGGAAAUAAAUGUGAAAUCGAUUGCAAUCAUAAAACAACAUGCUUGAAAAAAUUACAGGUUUUCACUGCUGUCUUUGUAGAGUACCGAAAUACAUAGUAUUCUGAUUUUUAGAACAUUAGCAUUGGAAAAUGGUAACAUAUAUGUGAAUCUUAUACCCGUAACCUUUUACAGUCCCAAUCAUUUAUCUUUUCAAGGUCAUUUACUCCAACGUUAGCAUUACAGAUUAAAGCAGUAUACAGCAGCCAUUUGGCACUUAAAUUGAGAGGGAUGCAUUGAGAAGAUAGACAGAUUUGUUCUAAUGUUUGAGAGACAUAUUUAAGACGAAUUUCUUUUGUUUCUUCUUUUAUGAUUGGAGGAGUUUAUAAAUUUCAUCAGUUCUAUGUGUGGUUGGAGUUAGAGAAGGAAGAACAAACUUCUAGUAGUAUAAUUAGAAUUGUAUAAAUCUUGCUGUCCUCUAUGAAAUUAUAAUAAUUAGCAUGCACAAAUUUGCUUUUAGUUACAUAUAUUAUCCAUUUGAUUAAUCAUGAUUCAUGAACAUGAUGGGUAGAAGUUCAAUUGAAAACAGAAUAUUAAAGUUGUAACUUAAUUUCUCCAAUGGACUAGGUAAACAUGAAUAAUAAAUGGAAAUGACUGAAAAAGUUUGUAUGCUAGACAGAAAAUUCAUUCCCUGAAAAAAGAGAGUUAUAUAUGCAAUACAGGAAAAGAUAAUUUUUUUUGCAACUCAUCAAAUGAAAUAAGAAUAGUGGUUUUGGAAGUUCUCAGAAUAACAAAAGAAAUGUUGUUUUUGCAGUAUGCAAACCUCUCAGUCACAAUAAAAGAUCUCUGGCAGUAUACUUUUGCAAUGACACAAGUUUAUCAUUGGAGCCUAAAUGGAUAUCAAAGCUACUUAACACAAUGAAAACAAGGAAGAUUAGAUGUGAUAAACUUUCGCUUUAGAGAAAGUAAACUAAUCCAUAAACCUCUAGAAAAAGCUAACCAGUAAAACAAAACAAGAUGUUUGUAGAAGUAAGAAAAUGUUCAGAAUCUAGAUACAUACAUGCUGCAAGAGUUCUUCACCAGCUGAUCGAAAGAUGCGACAAAUUUCUGCAGGAAUAAAAGCUGAACUAUUUUCGUAGCCCCGAGUCCCACCACCAGAGAAAGAAGAUAUUUCCUGAAAUUUUAAAAAAAUAAUCAAAAAGCCCAUUUAGAUGGCCCAGAUCAGGUAACUAUACUGAAGUACCAAUCAGACAACUCCUUGCCUCAGUGAUUCUGGUAAUGCCAUUUUGCUCUAUGAAAACAGAGAGUUGAGCCAGCAAAAGAACAAGCUCGGGAAGUACUUUAUCACCCUGCAUUCCUUCCCCAAAGGUUAGAUCCUGAUUAGCAGAAUAUUUCUUUCCCGAAAGCAUGAAAAAGUGAUCAUUCAGCUUCCUGAAGAAGUCCUGAAAUCUUUCUUGCACCCACUCAAUGAUCAAGUCUGUCAAACUUGAUAGCACUUCCAAGUUUUCAUCAAGAAGUCGACGGGAAUCCUGUUAUACAAAAAAUCAAACUAAAAGUACAAUAAAGAACACAAUUGACUGGACAACUGGAGACUGUACUCUGAUAGAGGAUAUGCUGAAAUCAUGAAGCUGUGGUGCUAGUUUUACCCCUUGCUAUUUCCUGAUUUAUUGCCUUUUCAUUUUUUUUUAUUUUUGGGAGGUAAGCUCAGCGAUUUUCGCAACAAUUUUGUUCAGUUGAGAAACCUUUCUGAUAUAUUUGGCAUAAUAAAAACUGUUUGUCAGUAACUUGAGAUCAAACCUGAGUGGUGAGUUAUAAUAGCAAAGACCAAAGUAGGUCAGUAGGUAUAGCAGCAGAAAAAUGUUAAUGCACACUAUUUCAUAUAGUAACAUAACUUCAUCAGCGAAGACUUUGGUUCACAGUAAUCCACUAUUCCAGAAGCUCUAGAUGCAUGUCAAAAGAACAAUACGCGUGAAAAUGAUGUUACUGAUGCAUUUUUCUUACCUAUCCCUAUUCCUUUGUAAAACAAAAUAGUUUAGUUCCCAAGGGGUUCGAAAACUAUUUAGCUCCAUUCAUAGGUUUGGCAAAAAUCCUUUUAAAUCCUUUUAUUUCACAUGUUUCUGCAAUUCUUACUUAAAUCAUUCCCUGGGUAGAAUCAAAUAGAGAAAGAAAAACAAUGUGCGGGCCAGGGUACGGAAAUGAUUAACAGAUACCAACUACUUUAACCAUUCCCAGUGAAAACUAAAAAGACAGAUUUGAUGACCUUUGAACCCAUAGAUGAAUUAUUUGAUACAAGGAUUCAAGAGAACUUCUUAAUUUAUAUAAAGCCACAGAACUACUUUUACCAGCAAGGCGCCCAUGCUGCCUUGUACUAAUGCCUUUUUGCUGGUCUCAAGGGCAGACUGCAAAGGAUACUCUUCUUCAAUUACCCCCUUUUGAUUAUCAUGGACUUUUACAAGAGCAUCUGCCAAUUUAAAAUAAUGUAAAGCAACAGUCAAACUCAGAAUAGUUUAGAGCUAAUGUAAAAUAAGUGGUUUGAGAAAGAAGGUCAUUUUCUAAGAAGGAACUAAUUACUCUUAAGGCUAGUUAAGAUUUUGGAAUAUAACAAAUAAUAUCAUAAAUGAGUAGUUACACAUUGUGCAUUAAGCUCCAAAUGCCAGAUGAUACAACAUAUAAGAUAAGACCUCAGACUUCUGAAGAACCUCACCAAUUUUUAUCCUCUGAAAGACAAUUAUCUUCUUAGAGCCUGUUUGGAUUGACUCAAAAGUUGGUCAAACCUACUUGUAAGUCAUUUUUAGCUUUUGGACGUGUUUGGCAAGGUUAAAAAUAACUUAAAAUAAGUUUAAAAUGACUUUAAAAAAGUUAAAAAUCAAAAGUAGGUCUCCCCCUACUUUUUGUUUUUUGACUUAAAAAGUCAUUUAAGUUUGACUUUUUGUUUUUUUGACUUAGAAGCUACUUUUUUUAAGUCAAUCCAAACGGACUCUUAAUAACCUUUGCUAAGUCACAUUACUCACAUCAUGAUUAACGAAAUCCAAUAUAGGACAGAGUAGAUAUCCAAGAAGAAAUAACAAGGAGGUUCUGUGUUUACUUUGUGCAAAUUAGUAGUGUUGUGUUUUGCACACCCUUCUUAGAGAUUCCUUUAAGUCUCGUAAACCUAAAACCUAACAAAUUUAAUUUGAGUCAAAUUUAGACAUUUUUAUCCGACAGUACCAGUUUAACAAGACAUACCUGAAAUAUCUAGCAAAAGAUGACUGAAUGUGCAAGCAACAUAUUGUUUGAUAGCAUCAUGAGCAGCCUGAAACCACACAGGAAUUUUCAGAUAUUCCAAACCCACCACUGUCACAAUCGAAUAACAUGAAUCCAUAAAGUGGUAAUUGUCUAUUAUAAGAAACCUCAAACGUAAAAUCACGUAGUCCAGCCUCUGGCAGCACUUCAUCCAUCAGAAGCACAUCUGUCCAAAUUACUCCUGAGGAAAAAAUGCGCGUAAAAGAAUAAUUUAUAAUCAGACCAAAAUUAGCAUUCAUGAAAUGCAAAAGUGGCGUCGACAGAGAGCCAGAGUUAUUAAAGGCGAAAAGGUAGAAAAGCAAAGGUGUAGUAAGUUUUGAGUGCAAAGCUUGAAUAAAGAACAAUCAGUGAAUAAAGGUCCAGAUUCCAGAAUAAAGAAAAACUAAUAGAUAUAUAUGU
RNAcentral lists this long non-coding RNA (50121 nucleotides) under Solanum tuberosum (potato). RNAcentral describes it as "long non-coding RNA (STUB_LNC002016)". The record is from RNAcentral. Lineage: Eukaryota; Viridiplantae; Streptophyta; Magnoliopsida; Solanales; Solanaceae.